CACACAAGCUGCCCAACAUUUUACAUGAGGAGUACACACACAAAAAUCUUGGAAAUAUGUAAAAAUAUAAACCCGUUACAAACUGGUCAACGGAAGAUACUUCACCAUAGAUCUUACUCAGCGAGGUUGCAUACAUCGAAAUCAUAUUCAGAUCUUCACGCCGUCGAUGGCUAGUGUCCCAGUGGCAUAAGUGUCAUGGUAUUUUUCUAUGUAGUCGUUGAGCUUGAUCUUCAUGUAUCGUGCAUGUCUCUUGUCAUCCACUAGCUCUAACACCGGCUCAAGUUGUGUCUCUAGCUCCAACGUAUACACCAACACCAACGACAAGCGCUCUUUCUCCGCGUUGGUGACAACCCUAUGCACGAGGCUCUUAAAAAACCCAUUGCUCAAAAUCUACAUGCAUAAGGAUGAAAUAGAGAGAUAUGUAUUACAUCUUAUCUAGACAAUCCAAAAACAAGGUCAAACAAUUAUACAUCAAUACAUGUAGCUGCCUACAAACACAUUACCUCCAUUACGUCCCCUAUGUUUAUAACCAGUGCAUUCGAAAUGAUGGGCACGUUGUACCAGACGCCGUUUUUCUCAAGCUGGAGCCCCUCAACGUCGGUGAAGUUGACGGUGAUUAUUGAGCCGUCGGUAUGGGCCUUGAGGCCCAAGACGUGGUCUGGCCUUGGACACUGAGGGUAGUAGUUGAAUAUAGCUUGGGUGAUGGAGUUGUCGCGGAUCAUGUUUACGAGGUGUUCCUCUUGUAAAUUGAACAUCUUGGCCAUGUUUUGAAGGACAAUGUUGGUCGCCGCUUUGCACCUGACCGUGUACUCACACAGGACCUCUCUGCACAGUUAUGGAUGUCGUGUUAAGACAAUUGUACCAUAUACUAGUAAUCAACUGUCGGAGUAUCAGUUUGAAAAUGGAUGUCGCUUUAUGCAUGCAUGAUAGCAGAAUCUCCAGCAGCAUGUACCAUGUAUAGAUGGUAAAAACUUACCCACAACCUUUUGGAGAGCAGAGCAGAGCAAGGCAAUAAUGGAGGGUGGUGCCCGUUUUGUAAUUGCUGGCUCAUGGUCUGCUGCUACCUACCACGCCUUGCUGCUAGUACCUACAAAUAAUGGAGGCUACUUCUGGAGAGUAAUGAAGACCACUAAAAGCAUAGUUAAUAGUAUAACCAACUGCUGGCUAUAAGCAGUCUUAUAACCCAUCUUAUAGCUAGCUUGUACAAUAGUUAGGUGUAAAAGAGUACUAAUUUUAUCAUAUAUGGUCCACCUUUCAUUUUCACAAAACACCUAGGAGCACGUGCUAGAGCUGGCUCUUCAUGAAGAGCCCGUUUCCCUUCUCUCUCCUCUUCUCUCUCAUCCAACUUAGCAAAAUAUAGUAUUUUAAUCCUUACAGCCUGCUGACUGUACCUUAUUGUACUUGCUCUAAAGGUCCGACUCUGACUUGCUGCCUCUACAGUGUGUGAGCGUGAGUGACCAGAAACCGAGAAAUAUGGAAAACUGUUUUUUGAAAAAGGAGAUUAACCCCGGCCUAUGUAACAAUCGAUGUAUACAACCAUCUUUACAGCAACUUCGACGGGACGAUCUAAACGGACGCGUGCUUUGUCCGCUUUGUAGUAAUUAACCUAGUUAUAGUCUAAAACGUGCACGUGCAAACCGAGUAGGAUUAGUAUUGCAAACCGAGUAGGACUUGUAGUUGGCUAGGUUAGGUACUAUCUAUACCUACCUAAUAAUAAAGCAGCUAUUGCUUCCGUCGAAAAACCCACCGCGGCAUUUUUAUAAAAAGCCCCUGCUACUAUUAAAAGAAACAAUUAUUCUUAGUCUCGCUUGCAAAAUAUAUUUUUAUUUCCACGUACAAAAUAAUUGUUCGAUCCUGCACGCAACGAAACAAAUCUUAGUCGGACACGCUCGCGUUCGUGCGUAGCACAUGUACGCUGGCCUAUACUAGGCCAUGUACUGCGCCUGCUGUGCGGUUACUUUGCCUAUAUGGGCCUUCUCUUAUGGACAUAAAUAAGUAACCGAAGAGUCACGUUGGGUAUAUUUCUGAUAGCUUGGUGUAUCAAGCAUGCAUGCAUGUUUCUAAAAAGAAAUAAAAUCAAGCAUGCAUGCAUGACCAACCAAAGAAGAUGAAAUUGACUAUUUGUGAAAGAGGCCAAUUAUCUAUGAUGGGAUGCAUCGUAUACCAGUAAACUAAACUACGAACAAAAAGAUUGCUUCGAUGGCCUAGAUUAGUUCAUCUUGAUUUCUUCCACUCACGUACGAUAGUGUGCAUCUGGAUGUGUAGCCUAAAUAAACAUGUUUGCCUACUUAAGUGUGUUUGCAUUCAUUUGUGAUUGUCAGUUCAUUAAUAAUAUAAGUUCAUAAGACAUAAAUUUGAAUUGUUUGGAAUACAUGUACUCAAUAUUCUUUCAUGCUUUUAUUUCCUGAUUUGUUCAUGAAAUACACAUCGAGUUAGUGUAUACUCCCUCUGUAACUAAGCAUACAGAACAUAUUGAAGUUUUGCUCAAAGAGAGAAAGAGAGACCUUAGAACUGAACACAUUUGAACACAUUAUCGUUGUAUGAGUGUUGAGGCCACUGUCGUCAACACAAAUAUGAUUCCAUGUGAAACUAAAAGACGUGGGACUAUUAAGGUUUUGAGUCAUGGUUAUUGGGUUAAAAACGUGUGUUAUUUUUUCCGUUGCAACGCACGGGUUUUUUGCUAGUAUAAUCCUAUGUAUCCCUUGUAACAGAUCAGAUCAAUCAAAGCAAUAAACAAAACAUGUGCGACACGCACACGAUUUGGCAAACAACUCGCGUCAGGUGUUUUCUCCUCGCGUGUGUUCCGGCGACUUAGUACGUAGGUGUGUACGUACUUGUCCGGCUCGCCGAUCACGUUUGUCUCCAAGCCAAGAAUCGAUCCACGUCUGCGACUCCCACGGAAAGUGCUCGUUUACGAGCAGUGUGACGUAUAUCGGGAUCAAGUGCCAACAAUUGGUAUCUAGAGUCUCGACGAUCUACGAUCUACGAUGACGGACAGCGACGCUGAGUCGGUCAAGUCCGGUAAAGACGGUGCCAAGACGAACAUGAACAGCGACAAGGUGAAAAAUGACGGCAAGUCAGCAACCAGUGGUGAAGGGAUGGACGACGCCAACGUUCAGGCGCAUCGCAACAUCUUCUUCCAGUACUCUCUUAGGAAAGACAAACUGCUCUAGAAAAAGAGCUAGACAAAGACACUCUCCAACUUUCCCCUGGGAAGACUAGUAAUGUCACGUGAGAUUAUGCAAAACCCGUUUCUGUAUAUGGGCUUCGCAUUUUUUGGAACUGACAAUCCAUGCAGUUGUUAUAAGGGCGACACUUGAUUUUCCUGUCCUGGUUUUCUAAACGGAUCGAAAACCGGGUUAAUGUAAAACCCGUUUUUCUGCGGUGCGUUUAAGCUAACGCUGAGAAUAUAUAUACAUUCAGGCAACAAACACACAUUCGGGCUAACGUACAUACACAUGUCAGCUUCUAAUUGACUGAAAAAACGACUCAAAGCCAUUUGAAUUUUAGUCGAAUGUCAAAUAAACUCUUUGGAUCUAGUGUUGUACAGGAUUUAUCCCAAUAACCAUAUUUAUUGUAUUAAAGGGACUUGCCUGUGUGUCAGGGAUUGGGUUGUUAAUUUAGGCCUGCAAGGUUUAUCUGACUAAAAUUCUUUAAUUAUCUGGCAGUCAUCUGUUUGUUCCAAGUCCAGAGGGAUAGCUGACUCUAGAAUAGGACCUACAACCCAUUGAACCUUGGAAUUUUAGUAGUUUAGCAUCAUACCUGACCUAUUGCCCAAGCAGCUCUAACUCUAGUAUUAGAUUCACCGAGAGGAAGAAUACUGCUUUAGGUGAUUAGUUGGUCAUUAGCUACUUAUAUGCCAGAUAUUUUUAUUCUUUCUGUCAAAUCAGCAAAUGCAGAAUACCGUUAGUUAGAUAUGCAAUGAUAAUUUAACUGCACUUUGUAGCUUCGGCCUUUGGGCUUGUCAAAAGCAGAAAUUGGCUACUGUAGGAGUGCUUAUGCUAAAUUGCACGCUGCGACUGCAGAGCAACUAUAUCAGCUUAACCGAUCUUUCAGAACAUUGCUCAAGUUCUGAAUAUCUACAAUCCCUGGACUAACAAUAUGAUUGAUUUAAUUUCAUGUUCAGAAAGAGUGCAAAAUAGCAAAUGUGCAUGUGUAUGGGGCAUUACUGCUCUCUGGUCUCCAUGUCGAUGCAAUGAACCAAGGUUGUACUCCCUCCGUUCCUAAAUAUAAGACCUUUUAGAGAUUCCACUAUAAACUACAUACGGAUGUAUGUAGUCAUAUUUUAGGAUGUAGAUUCACUCAUUUUGCUCCGUAUCUAGUCUAUAAUAAAAUCUCUAAAAGGUCUUAUAUUAAGGAACGGAGGGAGUACAUGUUAAAAGAAAGAACAAUGGACAGACAGUGCGAAAGGCACUGCUGAAAAUACAGAACAACUAUAUACCAUGAUGGGUUUUUCUUUCAGUCUAGAACAGAAUGAUGAAGGUUCUUGUAGCGCUCUUGUCGGCUCAUGGCAGCUGGGCUGAUAUGUCUUCUGUUGUCACUGUCCUGCCUGUGCACCAGGCUAUACACUGAACAAGUGAAACAUGCUAAACUUGUUGAAAUUGGUAGUGGACUUUAGGCCCAUUAGAGAAUUUCAGAAAAAUCUUUAAGGGCCCAUGUAUGUGGUGGCAUGACAAGGUGGUGGGAAGUUUAGUCGUACCCCGCUAGUGGAGGAGAAGUUGGACCCCUUUAUAAGGAUCUCUCUUCCACAUGCUAUUGGAGAGUGAGAAGAGAAGGUGUCCUCGCGCACUCCUCCUCCGCCGCCCACCUCGCCACGCCUCGUCACGACGCACCGCAGGUUGCGGGAAUGAGCCGAGCCGAGCUCAUACCUACGCGUUUAUUUUUGCCGGUCAGAAACGGGGAAUACAUAACGGACACGGCACGAUCCGAGACGUCGGAUCGUGGGCUGUUACCGACUCGGACGUGGGUUCGGCCCACGUCUCUCCACCCAGCCGCCUUUAUAAGCAGGCUGUCGCCUACCCUAGCCGUCACGAGAAUCAGAUCACAUCUGCCUCACGCGUUCGUUCCUUUUACUGCUGCUGCCGCCGGCGACUCCGUCCCGUUUACCGCGUACACGGUCGACGGGAGAGCAGGCCUCCGAAACCCCGCCUCUCCGGUUCCUGUACGGGAGAGGGGCAAUUAGGUUUUUGGGGAGCGAUCACGCGACUGCUCUCCUCCGUCCGUCUGCUUCGUCUACGUCCGCGUCGCCCUCGUCAUCGUCAUGUCUUCACCAAGCGAAGCUGACCGUCUCGUCCGCGAGAAAGCCGAAGCCAAGAAGAAGGUGGCAGAGGAUGCUGCCGCCGCCACCGCUGCUGCUACGGCCAAUUGGCCGAUCGGAGGGUAUGAUAUAUUUAUCCCUCUCCUGUUUCUGUCUGCAAUAGUAGUACUGCCUAUAUGCGUAGAUGUUUCUGCUAUAUGCGUAGUACUUGCUAGUAUACUCCGUGAUCAGUAUGUCAUGAACCUAGUCAAUGCUAUGUUAGUAAUUAUUUCAUGGAUUAAUCUACUCGGAAAAUUGCCUAUUUACUCAACAAUCCAAAAACCUAAUAUGUGUAGGAAUUUUUUGAGUAAUGGUUUUGUUGUUGCACUGAAACCGGAUAAGUUUACCGGUACUUUUUUCAAGCGUUGGCAAACGAGAACCACCUUAUGACUCACGGCUAUGAAUGUGUUCUGGGUAGCCGGUGUCACUCCUACGGAAACUAUCACUCCUGAACAGGAGAAGAUGUUUAAGGAGGCCACCCUCCUAUUCCUUGGAGUAGUCAUUAGCGUGAUCGGAGAUAAGUUGGUUGAUGCAUAUUUACAUAUGCAUGUUGCCAAGGACUUGUGGGAGGCGCUCGAAUCUAAAUUCGGGGCCACCGAUGCUGGGAGUGAGAUGUAUGUUAUGGAGCAGUUCCACGAUUACAAGAUGGUUGACAACCGUUCUGUAUUGGAACAGGCUCAUGAGAUAAUAUGCAUAGCUAAAGAACUUGAGGUUCUUAAGUGCAAUUUGCCGGGCAAGUUUGUCGCGGGCUGUAUAAUUGCUAAGCUCCCUACUUCCUGGAGGAACUUUGCUACUACUCUGAAACAUCAGAGGCGUGAGUUCUCAGUAGAGGACAUCAUCGGCCAUCUGAGUGUUGAGUAGAACUCGAGAGCAAAGGACUCCAAUGGAAAAGCGGUGGAAAGCUCUUCUGCUGCCAAUAUGGUACAUCAGAGGAACCUCAAUUCCCACAAGCCCAAGGGAAAGAAUUCUGUCCAACAGAAUACCAACUUCAAGAAGAAGGGAAAGAAGCCCUUCAAGAAGAAUAAGAAGGGAGAUGGCUGCUAUACUUGUGGUUCAGAGGAACAUUGGGCGAACAAGUGCCCAAACAAGUACAAGAAGCCGGCGCAGGACUCCAAGUCUGCCAAUAUGAUUGUGGGCAACAAUGAAAGUGCUGCAUCUGGGUACGAUAAUUUACUUGCUGUAUUUACAGUUUGUCAGUCCACCGAUUGGUGGGUGGACACGGGUGCAAAUAUUCAUGUGUCCGUAUUGAUGGGGAAUGGCGCGAGUGCUUCUGUUCUUGGUGUUGGCACGGUCGAUCUGAAGUUUACUUCAGGAAGGAUCGUGCAGCUGAAGAACGUGCAGCAUGUCCCCGCCAUCAAGAAGAAUCUCGUUAGUGGCUCCCUUCUGUGUAGAGAAGGGUUUAAGUUGGUAUUCGAGUCUAAUAAAGUAUUAGUUACGAAAUAUGGACUUUUCGUUGGAAAAGGUUAUGAAUGCGGAGGUCUGUUCCGCCUUUCUCUUGCAGAUUUUUGUAAUAAAGUCGUGAACAAUAUUCAUUUGAGUGUUAAUGAAUCUGAAGUUUGGCAUUCACGUCUUUGUCACAUAAGUUUCGGUGUUAUGUCGCGGCUAGCAAAACUGAAUUUAAUCCCAACUUUCACUUUAGCCAAAGGUUCUAAGUGUCAUUCGUGUGUGCAAGCAAAGCAACCUCGCAAGCCUCACAAGGCUACAGAGGAGAGACACUUGGCACCAUUAGAACUCAUACAUUCUGAUCUUUGUGAGAUGAAUGGUGUGUUGACUAAAGGUGGAAAGAAAUAUUUCAUGACAUUGAUAGAUGAUUCCACUAGAUAUUGCUAUGUGUAUCUGUUAAAUACUAAAGAUGAGGCUCUACACUACUUUAAAAUCUAUAAGGCAGAAGUUGAGAAUCAACUUGAAAAGAAAAUUAAACGAGUCCGGUCUGAUCGUGGUGGAGAGUACUUCUCAAACGAAUUUGAUUCAUUUUGUGUGGAACAUGACAUUAUUCAUGAGAGGACGCCUCCCUAUUCACCCCAGUCAAAUGGGGUUGCCGAGCGGAAAAACCGUACUCUAACUGAUUUGGUUAACGCCAUGUUAGAUACAUCGGGUUUAUCCAAGGCAUGGUGGGGGGAGGCUAUAUUGACUGCGUGUCAUGUCCUGAAUAAAGUUCCUACAAAAGAUAAUGAGGUCACUCCCUACGAGGAGUGGUCGAAGAGAAGGACGACGCUCUCGUACUUACGUACUUGGGGCUGCUUGGCGAAAGUCAAUGUACCGAUCCCCAAGAAGCGUAAGCUUGGACCAAAGACUGUGGACCGCGUUAAUUUGGGAUACGCUAAGAAUAGCGUAGGCUAUAGAUUUCUAGUAGUGAAAUCUGAGGUACCUGACGUGAAGGUCGGUACAAUAAUGGAGUCGAGGGAUGCUACAUUCUUUGAGGAUAUAUUUCCCAUGAGAGAUAUGCAAAGCACUUCUAGACAGGAAUAUGAGAUAACUCCUGAGCCUGCCAUUCCUAUGGAAUAUUAUGAACAAACACAUGAUGAUAAUCCCGAGGAGGAUAACGAGGAAACCCUUGGUAGGGGCAAGAGACAAAGGACCGCAAAGACCUUUGGUAGUGAUUUCUUCGUAUACCUCGUGGAUGAUAAUCCCACUUCUAUUUCAGAAGCGUAUGCUUCUCCAGAUGCUGAUUACUGGAAAGCUGCGGUCCGUAGCGAGAUGGAUUCCAUCAUGGCUAACGGGACAUGGGAAAUCACUGAUCGUCCCUAUGGUUGAAAACCAUUGGGAUGCAAGUGGGUGUUCAAAAGAAGCUUAGGCCCGAUGGAACGAUUGAAAAGUACAAGGCUAGGCUUGUGGCCAAGGGCUAUGCCCAGAAAGAAGAAGAAGAUUUCUUUGAUACUUACUCACCUGUGGCUAGACUGAUCACCAUUCGAGUACUACUCUCAUUGGCGGCCUCUCAUGGUCUUCUCGUUCAUCAAAUGGACGUUAAGACGGCUUUCCUGAAUGGAGAGUGAUGGGGUUAUAGUCCUAGGGUAGGGUCAUAGGCCUGCCCUAUAAGUCCUACCCAAGGACUAUCCUUCAUAAGGGAUAAGGCCCUUAGUCAGUUCCGACUGAAUUAAGGACUUCCCAUCAUCUAGUCGGUGACGAAUCCUCCAUCAUCCAGUCGGAUAUGAGCAUUCAGAGUGUAUCAAAUUAACCGACUGGAUUCCACUCUGUGCAUCGUAACCCCCUGGAGGGAAACGGUCAUACGUUUCCAUGUGCCUUUAUUAGCAUUUAAGACAUACGUUACCUGUAACGUAGGCAUUUAUUCGCCACUACUCCACUCCUGUGCACCGAACCGUUGUGAAGGGCAGCGCACUCUAUAUAAGCCACCCUUCCCCACUGGUGCAAGGGUUAGCAAUUCACUGUAAUCCAUAUUCCACUCGACAACAAGCUCCCAGAGCACUGAGACGUAGGGCUAUUACCUCCACCGUAGAGGGGCCUGAACUCCUACAACCUCGCCGUAGCUAAGGCUCUGCCCAUCCUUUCGUACCCUACACAUCUACUGUCAGACUUAUACCCACGACAGCUGGCGCCCACCUUGGGGCAGGCGUCUAAGCGACUUCCGGCGAGUUUGCGACUACAUCUUUUCGUCAUGUCAUCCGGUGGAGAUUUGAGCAUGGGUCACGAGAUCCUCUUCGGCGCUCUCUCCUUCAUCGUCGACGAUUCGGCAUGGCUUCGGGACGCCCCUCUCGAUGUCGAGGCGCUCCCCAUCGCGGGGCUACGCACUUCCGUACCGGCGCCCGCGGUAUUCUUCUUCUCCAGCAGUCGGCUCCGGUGUCGACCUACACCGCCGUCACGCGCCGCAACAAGCGGUCCCGCCGUCCGUGGCUCUAGCGUUGGGUGCAACACGCCCAGGCGCGCCAGAACGCGUCUUCACAAGUGGCGGUCCUAGUGUCGGUUGUGGUUGCCCUGCCGUCCCAGCGCUCGGACUCGGUUCCGAUUGAGUUUCCUUCCGAGUACUUGGGUCGCGGGCCUACAGCAGAAGUGCACAUGGCCAACUCCCAUGAAAGUCCCCGCCAAACUGGCCGGAACGAGCACGAGAUCGGUGAAACAUCCGGCGCUCGCCGUCCGCCUCGCCGUUCUGCCAGUCGGCACACUCGGCGGAGCAACGUGGAGGUGUUCCGCACACCCAUCCUCAACCUGGCUGCCGCUGCCAAGAUAGCCGAUUCCCUUCAGCCGACUGAUUCAGAGGCUGGCAGGGGGAUCGAGCAAAUCCGCGCCCUACUGCACACGGCGCAGCAACAAAAUUCGGCGGUCUCCGAGUCGCACAACAGGAUCCACAAUAGUUUUGUUCAUGCGAACACGCAUCGGUCAGUUCACAACCCUGGUUCUCAUCAGCGACACAGGGGAGGCAGCCGUUCCAUAAAUCCCGAAGAUCGUCGCCGUUCACGCACCCCUCCGCGGGGUGGGCCCUACGGGCCCCGACAUCAUGAUGAUCGACAUUCAGUCGGUGACACUUACGAUCCUAGGCCUGACACGAGAGGGCAUAUCGCCCAGCGGAGGGUCGACAGGGGCCGAGCCCACCGCGAUGGUCACGAUAUGGACCGUCCGAGUGGAAGCAGGACCAUCGUUUCUGGUCCCGAGUGUUUCAGUCGAGCCAUCCGUUCGGCUGACAUCCCUCCCAACUUCCGAUUGGCGACGGGGAUCAGCAAGUUUACAGGAGAAUCCAAGCCAGAAACGUGGCUGGACGACUACCAAGUGGUAGUCCAGAUCGGAGGAGGGGACGACCACAUCGCCAUGAAGCAUCUCCCUCUGAUGCUCGAUGGCUCGACACGAGCGUGGCUGAACCAGUUGGCCCCCUCAAGCAUCUACAGCUGGGCAGAUCUGGCCCGAGUCUUCAUCAGGACCUUCGAAGGGACGUGCAAACGCCCUGCUGGCCUCGUGGAGCUCCAACAUUGUGUCCAGAAGCAGAAUGAGCCCCUGCGCGAUUUCAUUCAGCGUUGGACGACCCUCUACCACACGGUGGAGAACGUCACAGAGCACCAAGCAGUCUGCGCCUUCAAGGCAGGCGUGCGGUACAGAGAUUUGUACCUGAAGUUCGGUCGAACAGGCGACAUCUCCAUGAGCAAGAUGAUGGAGAUAGCGGCACGCUAUGCAAACAGUGAAGAAGAGGACCGCAUCCGUAGCGGCAAGCACAAAGCAGUGGCCGAUGGGGAUGGGAAUAACACUUGGAAGCAGAAGCAGAAAGCUCCGUCCACUCCGCAGGCAGAAGCCGCAACUGUUACCAAUGCCAAGUUCAAAGGCAAAGGGAAGGCUCAGUUCACCCCAAGAAGAAGCAGUUCAGUAACCCCAUCCUGGACCAGCCAUGCCCGAUUCACACGAAGAUGGAUGAAGAGGGCAACACCAUAUAUCCGAAGCAUACCGCUCGGCAAUGUCGCCUCCUGAUCUAGGGGUUUGGCGAAGGGCAACCGAGUGAAAAGGGCAAUGAACAGGAUGAGGAGGACAAGGAGGAUCCGUUCCUCCAAGUCCAUGCAACACUUAUGAUUUUUGCUGAUGUUGAGAGCAAGAGUCGACUGAAGCUGGUGAACAGGGAGGUGAACAUGGCCACGCCUACCAACCCCAAGUUCUUCAAAUGGUCUCAGACUGCGAUCACCUUUGACCAGUCGGAUCAUCCAGCACACGUACACACCCCAGGGAGACAGGCUCUGGUCGUCGACCCGGUGGUAGAAGGAGUCCGACCGCGGAAAGUCCUCAUGGACAGCGGCAGUGGCUUGAACAUCAUGUACGCCGACACUCUCAAGGGGAUGGGCAUUCCGAUGUCCAAACUCAGCGAGAGCAGCAUGCAGUUCCAUGGAGUCGUCCCUGGACGAAAGGCCAAGUCACUCGGCCAGAUCGCGUUGGACGUCGUUUUCGGCUCCGACAAGAACUUGCGCAAGGAAAAGCUGACGUUCGAGGUGGUGGACUUCCAGAGCGCGUACCACGCAAUUCUGGGCCGCCCGGCGUAUGCGUGUUUCAUGGCCCGUCCAUGUUACGUGUACCUGAAGCUGAAGAUGCCAGGCCCGAAAGGUGUGAUCACUAUCACAUGCAAUCGAUAGUGAGCCGAGGAGUGUCUACAGCAGGGAUCAAGGAUCGCCGAUCAGCAGAUGGCUGUCUUCGAGCUUGACGAAUACAAGAAAACAGUCGACCCCGCUGACUUGAUGCGUGCGAAGAAGCCAGCUUCGGAGUCCGCAUUCCAGUCGGCGGGAGAGACGAAGAAGGUCAGCAUCCACCCGACGGACGACACCGCUGCCCCAACGAACAUCUCCACCACCCUCGAUCCUAAAUAGGAAGCCGAGCUCAUCCAAUUCCUUCGUGAGAACUGGGAUAUCUUCGCAUGGAAGCCCUCUGACAUGCCAGGUGUACCCAGGGAGUUGGCUGAGCACCGACUGUAUGUGGAUCCCGCCGCUCGGCCUGUUCGAGAACGCCUGCGUUGGUCCGCCGUGCACAAGAGGAAGGCAAUCGGAGAAGAGGUGGCCAAGCUUUUGGCAGCCAACUUCAUUCGCGAGGUACACCACUCCGAGUGGCUCGCCAAUGUUGUCAUGGUGCCCAAGAAGGACAAGUCGCUCCGAAUGUGCAUCGACUUCAAGCAUCUCAAUAAGGUCUGCCCGAAAGACCAUUUUCCGCUCCCCGCAUCGAUCAAAUUGUCGAUUCGACUGCGGGUUGCAAGCGUUUGUCAUUUCUUGAUGCCUACUCGGGCUAUCAUCAGAUCCGUCUGUAUGGCCCCGAUGAAUUAAAAACCGCCUUCAUCACCCCAUUCGGGUGCUUCUACUACAUCACUAUGCCAUUUGGUUUGAAGAAUGCAGGAGCAACCUUUAUGCGCAUGAUCCAAAAAUGCCUCCUCGACCAGAUCGGUUGGAAUGUGGAGGCGUAUAUGGAUGAUAUCGUAGUCAAGUCACGCAAAGGUUCCGACCUGCUGACUGACUUGGCAGAAACAUUCGCCAACCUUCGUAGGUACGAUAUCAAGCUCAACCCAGCCAAGUGCUCAUUCGGUGUUCCCAGCGGAAAGUUACUCGGUUUCUUCGUUUCCGAACGAGGGAUCGACGUCAACCCCGAAAAGAUCGAGACCAUCGUCCGAAUGGAGCGGCCGGUCAGAAUACACGAUGUUCAAAGGCUCACAGGUUGGCUAGUGGCUUUGAGCAGGUUUAUCAGUCGACUCGGCGAGAAGGCACUUCUCUGUACCAACUCAUGAAAAAUCAGAUACUUUCGAGUGGACAGACGAAGCCCAAGUCGCAUUCGAUGACCUCAAAGUCCUACUUUCCACCCAGCCGGUUCUUACUGCUCCGCCCAGUAAAGAGCCCCUUCUUCUGUACAUCGCGGCUACAAAUCAAGUCGUCAGCACUGUUCUCACAGUCGAACGAGAAGAAGAAGGCAAAGCAUACAAAGUUCAGCGGCCAGUGUAUUACGUCUCCGAAGUCCUGACUCCUUCCAAGCAGAGGUAUCCCCACUAUCAAAAACUUAUCUACGGGAUUUACAUGACUGCGAAGAAGGUGGCUCAUUAUUUCCAAGACCACUCGGUGUCCGUCGUUUCUGAUGCUCCGUUGUCGGAAAUCCUCCACAAUCGGGACGCAUCGGGCCGAGUGGCGAAGUGGGCAAUGGAGAUGUUGUACUGCGACAUCAAGUUCGAGGCCAAGAAAGGUAUUAAGUCUCAAGCUCUGGCUGACUUCAUAACAGAAUGGGUAGAACAACAGCAACCGACCCACAUCUACUCGGCUCAUUGGACAAUGUUCUUUGAUGGGUCCAAGAUGUUGAAUGGCUCCGGCGCUGGCGUUGUGAUCAUAUCGCCAAAGGGUGACAAACUCAAAUAUGUGUUGCAGAUACACUUUGAUUCCUCCAACAACGAGGCUGAGUAUGAAGCUCUCCUUUACGGACUGCACAUGGCCAUCGCACUCGGCGUCCGUCGCCUGAUGGUCUAUCGCGAUUCGGAUUUGGUGGUUAAUCAAGUGAUGAAGGAGUGGGACGUCAGGAACCCCACCAUGACCACAUACUGCAAUGCAGUGAGGAAGCUUGAGAAAAGUUCGAAGGUCUAGAACUCCACCAUGUUCCGCGACUGAAGAACCAGGCAGCUGAUGAGUUGGCAAAACUCGGAUCCACUCGGGGACCAGUCCCGAGUGACGUCUGCCUCGAGCACCUCCACCUUCCCUCAGUUAAAGAAGAUCUGUUCACAGAGGAACCAGUACAACCAAAGAGCUCAACAGAUCCGACUGAAGUCGACGUACCUGCUGUGGUUGAUUUGAUCAUGGAGAUUCUUGCUGUCAUCCCCGAUUGGACUGUGCCGAUCAUUGCAUAUAUCCUGAGGCAAGAAUUACUAGAAGACAAAGUCCAAGCCAGAUAGAUCGUCCGUAGGUCAAAGUCGUUCACUGUCAUCGACGGCCAGUUGUACAAGGAAAGCGUUUCAGGCGUUCCUCAACGAUGCAUCUCCCCAGAGGAGGGACAGUUAAUCCUGGAGGAAAUUCACUCGGGAACCUGCGGUCAUCACGCCUUUUCAAGAGCAAUCGUCGCCAAAGCAUUCAGAGCUGGCUUCUUCUGGCUGCAGGCAAAUGAAAUGGCGAAAGAUAUGGUCGACCGAUGUGAAGGCUGUCAGUUCUACUCUAACAAGUCCCACAAGCCAACAUCUGCGUUGAAGACAAUCCCUCUUGUUUGGCCGUUUGUGGUAUGCGGAUUGGAUACAGUCGAUCCAUUCAGGACAGGCCAAGGGGGAUUCACACAUCUGUUGGUGGCAGUCGACAAGUUCACAAAGUGGAUCGAAGCCAAGCCCAUCAAGAAGCUCGACGCCCUAACAACCAUCAAGUUUGUCAGGGACAUCAUCUCCAGAUUCGGGGUACCUCACAGCAUAAUCACUGACAACGGAACAAACUUUGACUAGGACAGAUUCAAAGGUUUCUGUACAAGCCAAGGUAUCCGAGUGGAUUUUGCAUCUCUGGCGCAUCCCCAAACAAACGGGCAAGCAGAGCGGGCAAAUGGACUUAUUCUGCAAGGUUUGAAGCCUCGACUCCUGCGAGAGGUGGGACAUGCCGCUCGCGCAUGGGUCACCGAGCUACCUUCGGUGCUUUGGGGUCUCCGCACAACCCCAAAUAGAUCUACAGGGCGAUCCCCGUUCUUCCUCGUUUACGGAGCAGAGGCAGUCCUUCCGAGUGACUUGCUUCACAAUGCUCCACGGGUUGAACUCUUCUCCGAAGCUGAAGCAGAACAAGCAAGGCAAGACGGAGUGGAUCUUCUAGAGGAGGAGCGCGAGAUGGCACUGACUCACUCAACCAUUUAUCAACAAGAUCUGCGGCGUUUUCACGCGCGACACGUCUGGAGUCGUACAUCCCAAGCAGGUGACCUGGUGCUCCGAGUGGAUCAGCAGAGACCUCACAAGUUGGCUCCCGCCUGGGAAGGACCCUUCAUCAUCUCCAAGGUGCUGAACAACAGUGCAUACCGACUCUACAACAUCGACAGGGAAACGGACGAGCCGCGAGCAUGGAACGAAGAUCUUCUGAAGCGCUUCUACACGUGACCGUCGACUGAAGCAAUGUAAAGAACAAGUAUUGGUGAAAUAAUACAAAGCAGAUUGAGUUUUUGCAGAUUCGAAAUUCUUCCGCGGUCGCAGACUCCAGUCUCAAAAAAACUUAGCUGCGAUCACGAAUCGCCUAAGUAUUAACUUUCUCUGAGUGUGCACUUAACAUCGCACUCGGGGACUUAGCUGCGAUCCAGAAUCGCCUAAGUACUAACUUUCUCCGAGUGUGCACUUAAUGUCGCACUCGGGGACUUAGCUGCGAUCCAGAAUCGCCUAAGUACUAACUUUCUUUGAGUGUGCACUUAACGUCGCACUCGGGUCGCUAGCUGCGAUCCAGAAUCGCCUNNNNNNNNNNNNNNNNNNNNNNNNNNNNNNNNNNNNNNNNNNNNNNNNNNNNNNNNNNNNNNNNNNNNNNNNNNNNNNNNNNNNNNNNNNNNNNNNNNNNUUCUACAGGCUCAAACUAGUUUGAGGGUCGGACCUCUAAAAUAUUUACGGGUUUAAGGGUUUAAGAGUUCUAGUCUACGCCGUUUUUCGGACGAAAACCGUAAAAAACAGUUAUUUUAAGGGUUUGGGGUUUGAGGGUUCUACUAGAGAUGCUCUUACGUCUGUUGAUCUAUGAAGCAGACAGCAUCUAGGCUUCCGAGGAAGACUUUGGAAUAUACUCUCUGUUUUCAUUUUGAGGGGGUCUUUGGAAUAUACGCGUGCCUGGUGAAGCACCUCACAGCUUGAUCUUGACGGCUAUGAGCCAAGAGGUUCAACACCUGAGACCAGCCGGGGUUACCGUCCGUUUUAUAACUCCGUUCUUCUCGGAGAAAAACCGGUGAGAUAGUCUGGUCAAUCCAAAACUGAACAACCCUUAUUUAGGAAGUUAAAACAUCUGCAGGGCAGUAAAGAGAAACCAAAAGACGGCAGCAUCUUUUGCAGACAAUGUCAGACAUUGUAACUGUAGAUGAUAUCGAGUGCCAACUGUGGAUCUGCAAUAAUUUGUAAGUUGCAUUUCAGAGCCUUCAUCUGAUAUUCACCCUAGACAGGGUCAGUUAAGCUCAGCACGUUCACCUGUUCAGUGUAUAGUGCAAAUGCACAGUGACGACUCAAGACCUGUAUUUUCAACAGUGCCUUUUGCACUGGCUGUUGAUUGUUCUUUUAAUAUGUACUACAAUCUUGCUUCACUGCGUCGACAAGGAAACCUGAGAGCAGUAAUGCCCCAUACACAUGUGCAAAUUUGCUAUUUUGCACGCUUUCUAAACAGGAAAAUGAAACACUCAUUUUCGUUAGUCUAAUGACUGUAGAUGUCAGAACUUGAGGCAAUGUCCUGAAAGAUCAGUUAAGGUGAUUAGGCUGGUAUGAUCGCUCACCGGUCAUAUACUGCAACUCAACAAAAACACUCCUACAGCAGCCAAUUUCUGCCCUUUGACAAACCUGGAGCCACAAACUACAGUUGAAUUAUCAUUGCAUAUGUAACUAAUGGUAAAGGGUGGUUGAUUAUAUGGAAAGAAAAAAGCCCAUCUGGCAUAUGACCAAUUAAUCAUCAAAAAUAAAUAUUCUUCCUCUCAGUGAAUCUCAUACUAAGGUUAGAUUUGCUCAGGAUUAUGUAGCCACAGGUCAGGAAAGAUGCUAAACUACUACAAUUCCUGGUUGCUUGGGUUGCAUGUCCUAUUCUUGGGUCAGCUAUCCCUUCAGACUUGGAACAAACAGCAUGACCGGGAGAUACUUAAACAGUCUAUAUCUAAUAAUAAAGCGGCUAUUGCUUUCGUCGGAAAACCCACCACGGCAUUUUUAUAAAAAAGCCCUUGUAAUUUUGUUAUUCAACCCGUGCUCCAUCAUUUAUCUGCAACGCAAAAGGAAAAACGAUUCGCUGCAAAAAUUAUACCCGUACGCAUCGCCUCCUCCCGUCGAUCCUGGGCCACCCUGGCAUGUGCCUAGGCCGCCGCCACAUCACUCGCCGCCGCGGCCGACCUCAACCCCACCUCUGCCGAUCUCAACCCACCCGCCUCCGCGGUCGUACCUCUCCCUACUCACUGCCCCUGUUGCGGCGCUCGAGCGCAUCGCGUCGACCCUGCUCCACCCUAGGCUGUGCCCAGGCCGCUGCCACACCACUCGUCGCCGCGGCCGACCUCAACCACCACUGUUGUCGAUCUCAACCCACCCGCCUCCACGGCCGUACCUCUGCCCGCUUGCUGCCCCGUUUCGACGCUCGAGCACAACUUCUGGAUCAAAUCAACGCGACAGCUACAGUGACUGGGGAUGAUGCGUCUGCUCGAUGCAGAACGGCGGCGGCGCGCGGAUAAGACGCGGCGGAGCAAAUUACUUGCAGGUGGAGGCGGGCCUCCAUGACUCACACGGGGAACUCCGAGGUUAUGGCGCGGCAACAACGACUCCUUAUGGCCACAUAGAGGCGCCUAACCCUGGCUCUCCUCUUCGUAUCCUCUCCUCCGGCAGGAACUCAUCAUCUCGUGAGAUCCCCUCCCCAUGCCUCCAACCGUGUGCCAAGCACCGACAAGAAAAUUUGUUUUAUGGUGAUUUAUUUACUGAUGAAUGAAUGUAUUGAAUGUAAGAUUGUAUUGUUGUAGAGACAGAGAAUGAAACACCACCUUCAGUUUGUCAUCUGAUCCCACAUUCUCUACCCCAUGAAUGAAAUAAGAUAACAGUCAAUUGAUCAAUUCAGGUAGCCUCUUUGUUUUGCUUUGCUUGUCCCGCUCAAUUUCUCAUCAUGAUAAAAUUAACAAUGGACGGGUUGAUUUCUCAACAAAAUAGGAUAGGACUGACUACAUUAGUUAGUUAGCUUAUUAUUUUAAUAAAUCAAACUGAUUAUAAAAAGACUAAAAGCGUGUGGUAUUUUUUCUCCCGUUGCAACGCACGGACCCUUUUGCUAGUAUUAGUCAAAUAAACCUAACAGAACCACAGCUUAUUCAAGUACCUAGGUUAACAAGCACGCACAUAGCAAAUGCAAGCAUAGUAAAUACAAUCGCACGAGAAGGCCAAAUGAAAACUGACAAGCAUUCUCUGAUGAUAUAUACAAGACAAUAUUAUUAUUACUACUAGAGGAUCGAACACUUAUUAUUUAGGAGGGCUGACAAUCUCGAGUGCAAGCUAACAGGAAGUCAGUUCAGAACUUGGAUCAAACUGCAUCGAAUUGGGACGUGUUCCAUGCUUUAAAAAAAGCAGUACAAGAACUUUGGAAACAGAUCCUGUCAACAACACAAAAAUAAAUAAAUCCAAAUAUCGUACGCCAUCACUUUCAGAAUUAAAACAUCUGCGCGGCGGCAGUAAAUAGUUGACAUAUAAUCUAAAAAUAGUGGAUGACAUCAUGCACCAACCAAUUGCACUUCAGAGACUUCACACAGAGUCAGUUUUGUUGAGUAAAUAGGCAAUUUUCCGAGUAGAUUAAUACAUGAAAUAAUUACUAACAUGACAUUGACUAGGUUCAUGACAUACUGAUCAGGGAGUAUACUAGCAAGUACUACGCAUAUAGCAGAAACAUCUACGCAUAUAGGCAGUACUAUUAUUGCAGACAAAAACAGGAGAGGGAUAAACAUAUCAUACCCUCCGAUCGGCCAAUUGGCCGUAGCAGCAGCGGUGGCGGCGGCAGCAUCCUCUGCCGCCUUCUUCUCGACUUCGGCCUUCUCGCGGACGAGACGGUCAGCUUCGCUUGGUGAAGACAUGACGAUGACGAGGGCGACGCGGACGUAGACGAAGCAGACGGACGGAGGCGAGCAGUCGCGUGAUCGCUCCCCAAAAACCUAAUCNNNNNNNNNNNNNNNNNNNNNNNNNNNNNNNNNNNNNNNNNNNNNNNNNNNNNNNNNNNNNNNNNNNNNNNNNNNNNNNNNNNNNNNNNNNNNNNNNNNNGGGUGACGGGGAGCAUAGGCCKRKSGRSCAGCAGGGGACGACGCUAGGGCCGACGGGGACGAAGUGGUCGGGACGGCGGGCGGGGUGGUGGCCGGCGGUGUGUGUAGGGUCGGGAGAGAUGGCGGUGGAGGAAGGAUCCGGCGGAGUUGAGAGUCCCUCCGGUCUCUCGUCGCUAGUCCUCCCGGUCCUUUUGUUGGGGAACGUCGCAUGGGAAACAAAAUUUUCCUACGUGCACGAAGACCUAUCAUGGUGAUGUCCAUCUACGAGAGGGGAUGUGUGAUCUACGUACCCUUGUAGACCGUACAGCAGAAGCGUUAGUGAACGCGGUUGAUGUAGUGGAACGUCCUCACGUCCCUCGAUCCGCCCCGCGGACUAUCCCGCGAUCAGUCCCACGAUCUAGUGCCAAACAGACGGCACCUCCGCGUUCAGCACACGUAUAGCUCGACGAUGAUCUCGGCCUUCUUGAUCCAUCAAGAGAGACGGAGAGGUAGAAGAGUUCUCCGGCAGCGUGACGGCGCUCCGGAGGUUGGUGAUGAUCUCGUCUCAGCAGGGCUCCGCCCGAGCUCCGCAAAAACGCGAUCUAGAGGUAAAACCGUGGAGAUAUGUGGUCGGGCUGCCGUGGCAAAGUUGUCUCAAAUCAGCCCUAAAACCUCCGUAUAUAUAGGGGGAAGAGGGGGAGCCUUGCCUUGGGGUCCAAGGACCCCUAAGGGCUUCGGCCGAGCCAAGGGGGAAGGUCUCCCUCCCCAAACCGAGUCCUACUUGGUUUGGAAGGUGGAGUCCUUCUUCCCUUUCCCACCUCCUCCUUUCUUUUUUCUCUUUCUUUUUUCUUCCAAUGCGCAUAGGGCUCUUUUGGGCUGUCCCACCAGCCCACUAAGGGCUGGUGCGCCACCCUCAAUGCCUAUGGGCUUCCCCGGGGUGGGUUGCCCCCCCCCGGUGAACCCCCGGUGAAGUGGCUGUGGUGUUCCAGGCGGUGUCAAUUGUGAAACAAUUCCACAUUGUCUUAAGUGAGCACCAAACUCGAAACUCAGAUAUUCACCCCCACGAUCAGACCGUAGGAACUUGAUCUUCUUGUUACGAUGAUUUUCAACUUCACUCUGAAAUUGCUUGAACUUUUCAAAUGUUUCAGACUCGUGCUUCAUCAAGUAGACAUAACCAUAUCUACUCAAAUCGUCAGUGAAGGUGAGAACAUAACGAUAUCCGCCGCGUGCCUCCAUGCUCAUCGGACCACACACAUCGGUAUGUAUGAUUUCCAACAAGUCACUUGCACGCUCCAUUGUUCCGGAGAACGGAGUUUUAGUCAUCUUGCCCAUGAGGCAUGGUUCGCACGUGUCAAGUGAAUCAAAGUCAAGUGACUCCAAAAGUCCAUCGGCAUGGAGUUUCUUCAUGCGCUUUACACCAAUAUGACCUAAGCGGCAGUGCCACAAAAAUAUGGCGCUAUCAUUGUUAACUCUAACUCUUUUGGUCUCAAUGUUAUGUGUGUGUGUGUAUCACUAUCAAGAUUCAAUAUGGGCAAUCCUCUCACAUUGGGUGCAUGACCAUAAAAGAUGUUACUCAUAGAAAUAGAACAACCAUUAUUCUCUGACUUAAAAGAGUAACCGUCUCGCAAUAAACAAGAUCCAAAUAUAAUGUUCAUGCUCAACGCAGGCACUAAAUAACAAUGAUUCAAGUUCAUAACUAAUCCUGAUGGUAACUGAAGUGAAACUGUGCCGACGGCGAUUGCAUCAACCUUGGAACCAUUUCCUACGCGCAUCGUCACUUCAUCUUUCGCCAGCCUUCGUCUAUUCCGCAAUUCCUGUUUCGAGUUGCAGAUAUGAGCAACAGAACCGGUAUCGAAUACCCAUGCACUACUACGAGAGCCGGUUAAGUACACAUCAAUAACAUGUAUAUCAAAUAUACCUGAUUUUUCUUUGGCCGCCUUCUUUUCAGCCAGAUACUUGGGGCAAUUGCGCUUCCAGUGACCCAUACCCUUGCAAUAGUAACACUCUGUUUCAGGCUUAGGUCCAGCUUUGGGUUUCUUCGUCGGAUUGGCAACAGGCUUGCCGCUCUUCUUCGAAUUACCCUUCUUGCCUUUGCCGUUUCUCUUGAAACUAGUGGUCUUAUUCACCAUCAACACUUGAUGCUCUUUACGGAGUUCAGACUAUGCGACUUUCAGCAUCGCAAACAACUCGCCGGGAGACUUGUUCAUCCCUUGCAUGUUGUAGUUCAACACAAAGCCUUUAUAGCUUGGCGGCAGGGAUUGAAGGAUUCUGUCAGUGAUAGCUUCUUGCGGGAGUUCAAUGCCCAGCUCAGCUAGACGGUUUGAGUACCCAGACAUUUUGAGCACAUGUUCACUGACAGACGAAUUCUCCUCCAUCUUGCAAGCAUAGAAUUUAUCGGAGGUCUCAUACCUCUCGAUCCGGGCGUUCUUCUGAAAGAUAAACUUCAACUCUUGGAACAUCUCAAAUGCUGCAUGAUGCUCAAAGCGACGUUGAAGUCCCGGUUCUAAGCCAUACAAGACUGCACAUUGAACUACUGAGUAGUCCUCCUUACGUGCUAACCAAGCGUUCUUAACAUCCUGAUCAGCCGUAGCGGGUGGUUCAUCUCCUAGCGCAGCAUUAAGGACAUAAUCCUUCUUCCCAGCUUGUAAGAUUAGCUUAAGAUUACGAGCCCAGUCUACAAAGUUGCUUCCAUCAUCUUUCGACUUAGCUUUCUCUAGGAACGUAUUAAAAUUGAGGGUGACUGUCGCGUGAGCCAUGAUCUACAACACAAAUAUAUGCAAAGUGGACUUAGACUAUGUUCAAGAUAAUUAGAGUUUAACUUAAUCAAAUUACUCGCUAAACUCCCACUCAAAAGUACAUCUCUCUAGCCAUUUGAGUGGUUCAUGAUCCACUUACACUAGCUCAAGUCCGAUCAUCACGUGAGUUGAGCAUAGUUUCAGUGGUAAGCAUCCCCAUGCUAAUCAUAUCAUCUAUAUGAUUCAUGAUCGACCUUUCGGUCUCAUGUGUUCCGAGGCCAUGUCUGCACAUGCUAGGCUCGUCAAGCUUAACCCGAGUGUUCCGCGUGCGCAACUGUUUUGCACCCGUUGUAUGUGAACGUUGAGUCUAUCACACCCGAUCAUCACGUGGUGUCUCGAAACGACGAACUGUAGCAACGGUGCACAGUCGGGGAGAACACAAUUUCGUCUUGAUAUUUUAGUGAGAGAUCACCUCAUAAUGCUACCGUCGUUCUAAGCAAAAUAAGGUGCAUAAAAGGAUUAACAUCACAUGCAAUUCAUAAGUGACAUGAUAUGGCCAUCAUCACGUGCUCCUUGAUCUCCAUCACCAAAGCAUCGGCACGAUCUUCUUGUCACCGGCGCCACACCAUGAUCUUCAUCAACGUGUCGCCAUCGGGGUUGUCGUGCUACUCAUGCUAUUACUACUAAAGCUACAUCCUAGCAAAAUAGUAAACGCAUCUGCAAGCACAAACGUUAGUUAUAAAGACAACCCUAUGGCUCCUGCCGGUUGCCGUACCAUCGACGUGCAAGUCGAUAUUAUCUAUUACAACAUGAUCAUCUCAUACAUCCAAUAUAUCACAUCACAUCAGUGGCCAUAUCACAUCACAAGCAUACCCUGCAAAACAAGUUAAACGUCCUCUAAUUUUGUUGUUGCAUGUUUUACGUGGUGACCAUGGGUAUCUAGUAGGAUCGCAUCUUACUUACGCAAACACCACAACGGAGAUAUAUGAGUUGCUAUUUAACCUCAUCCAAGGACCUCCUCGGUCAAAUCCGAUUCAACUAAAGUUGGAGAAACUGACACCCGCCAGUCAUCUUUGAGCAACGGAGUUACUCGUAGCGAUGAAACCAGUCUCUCGUAAGCGUACGAGUAAUGUCGGUCCAAGCCGCUUCGAUCCAACAAUACCGCGGAAUCAAGAAAAGACUAAGGAGGGCAGCAAAACGCACAUCACCGCCCACAAAAACUUUUGUGUUCUACUCGAGAAGACAUCUACGCAUGAACCUAGCUCAUGAUGCCAGUGUUGGGGAAUGUCGCAUGGGAAACAAAAAUUUUCCUACGCGCACGAAGACCUAUCAUGGUGAUGUCCAUCUGCGAGAGGGGAUGUGUGAUCUACGUACCCUUGUAGACCGUAUAGCAGAAGCGUUAGUGAACACGGUUGAUGUAGUGGAACGUCCUCACGUCCCUCGAUCCGCCCCGCGAACUAUCCCGCGAUCAGUCCCACGAUCUAGUGCCAAACGGACGGCACCUCCGCGUUCAGCACACGUACAACUCGACGAUGAUCUCGGCCUUCUUGAUCCAGCAAGAGAGACGGAGAGGUAGAAGAGUUCUCCGGCAGCGUGACGACGCUCCGGAGGUUGGUGAUGAUCUCGUCUCAGCAGGGCUCCGCUCGAGCUCCGCAAAAACGCGAUCUAGAGGUAAAACCGUGGAGAUAUGUGGUCGGGCUGCCGUGACAAAGUUGUCUCAAAUCAGCCCUAAAACCUCCGUAUAUAUAGGGCGAAGAGGGGGAGCCUUGCCUUGGGGUCCAAGGACCCCUAAGGGCUUCGGCCGAGCCAAGGGGGAAGGUCUCCCUCCCCAAACCGAGUCCUACUUGGUUUGGAAGGUGGAGUCCUUCUUCCCUUUCCCACCUCCUCCUUUUUUUCUCUUUGAUUUUUUCUUCCAAUGCGCAUAGGGCUCUUUUGGGCUGUCCCACCAGCCCACUAAGGGCUGGUGCACCACCCUCAAUGCCUAUGGGCUUCCCCGGGGUGGGUUGCCCCCCGGUGAACUCCCGGAACCCAUUCGUCAUUCCCGGUAGAUUCCCGGUAACUCCGAAAACCUUCCGGUAAUCAAAUGAGGUCAUCCUAUAUAUCAAUCUUCAUUUCCGGACCAUUCUGGAAACCCUCGUGACGUCCGUGAUCUCAUCCGGGACUCCGAACAACAUUCGGUAACCAACCAUAUAACUCAAAUACGCAUAAAACAACGUCGAACCUUAAGUGUGCAGACCCUGCGGGUUCGAGAACUAUGUAGACAUGACCCGAGAGACUCCUCGGUCAAUAUCCAAUAGCGGGACCUGGAUGCCCAUAUUGGAUCCUACAUAUUCUGCGAAGAUCUUAUCGUUUGAACCUCAGUGCCAAGGAUUCAUAUAAUCCCGUAUGUCAUUCCCUUUGUCCUUCGGUAUGUUACUUGCCCGAGAUUCGAUCGUCAGUAUCCGCAUACCUAUUUCAAUCUCGUUUACCGGUAAGUCUCUUUACUCGUUCCGUAAUACAAGAUCCCGCAACUUACACUAAGUCACAUUGCUUGCAAGGCUUGUGUGUGAUGUUGUAUUACCGAGUGGGCCCCGAGAUACCUCUCCGUCACACGGAGUGACAAAUCCCAGUCUCGAUCCAUACUAACUCAACGAAGACCUUCGGAGAUACCUGUAGAGCAUCUUUAUAGUCACCCAGUUACGUUGCGACGUUUGAUACACACAAAGUAUUCCUCCGGUGUUAGUGAGUUAUAUGAUCUCAUGGUCAUAGGAACAAAUACUUGACACGCAGAAAACAGUAGCAAUAAAAUGACACGAUCAACAUGCUACGUCUAUUAGUUUGGGUCUAGUCCAUCACGUGAUUCUCCUAAUGACGUGAUCCAGUUAUCAAGCAACAACACCUUGUUUAUAAUCAGAAGACACUGACUAUCGUUGAUCAACUGACUAGCCAACUAGAGGCUUGCUAAGGACAGUGUUUUGUCUAUGUAUCCACACAUGUAUAUAAGUCUUCAUUCAAUACAAUUAUAGCAUGGAUAAUAAACGAUUAUCUUGAUACAGGAAUUAUAAUAAUAACUAUAUUUAUUAUUGCCUCUAGGACAUAAUUCCAACACCUUUUUUUCUGAGCGCUAGUCACUAGCCCAAGGAAGGAUCGGGUACGGAAUGACGAUAUACGAGAGAGACUUGGGGUAGCACCGAUUGAAGAGAAGCUGGUCCAACAUCGUCUCAGAUGGUUUGGACAUAUUCAAUGGAGGCCAUCGGAAGUGCCGGUGCAUAGCGGACGGAUAAAGCGUGUUGAGAAUGUUAAGAGGGGUCGUGGUAGACCAAACUUGACAUGGAAGGAGUCCGUUAAGAGAGACCUGAAGGUUUGGAAUAUCGACAAAGACUUAGCCAUGGACAGGGGUGCGUGGAAGUUAGCUAUCCACGUUCCAGAGCCAUGACUUGAUUUCGAGAUCUUAUGGGUUUCAACUCUAGCCUACCCCAACUUGUUUGGGACUGAAAGGCUUGGUUGUUGUUGUUGUUUUGUUGCUAGUCGCUAGCCCAAAGAAUAGCGUUAUAAUCUAGUCCAGUCAAUGUCAAGUAUCAGGUGGUUCAAUAAAAAUGUGAAGUAUCAGGUUGAGUUUAGCGUUAUGGUGGAUUAUGACAAUCCCGUUUGCCAAUCUUUUCUAAGUGCUUGGGUGACCUGUUUUUGCAUACCUUGGUGGCUAAUUUUUCACAUUUUUUACAAAAUAAGAAAAACGCAACACAGUUCGACAACCGCAAACUGAGCUUAGUAGUACAUAACUUGUCUGGUUCCACCAAAUUAGAUUUUCGUUUUCUCUCGAUUAAUUGAGCAUUUUGAUACAGUGCAUAUUUUACCAAAUACCGUGCCUUUUAUUCAUGUAUUAAAGAUUGUAUCAAAGAAAGUGAGACGAGGACAAAGAACCUGAAAUUAUCUCACUUUUUAGGCACCGGUUUGGGCAUAUAUACAUGCUUGGCACCUUGCUCAUGCCCUUAUGAACAGCGAGAUUGAUAAUAGAUCAGCAUUCUGCAUUCAUCGUUACAACUUACUCCCUUUGUCAACUAAUAUAAAAACGUUUAGGCCCUGUUUGAAACCAUAAUAGAUUAUGAUAAUCUGGAUUAUGAAGAUAGAUUAUAUAAUCUGGUUUAUAAAAAUAAUCUAAAUGGACAUGUUUGGAGGCCAGAUUAUAUAAACUGCAAUCCAGGUUUUACAUUGCAUAAUGACCUGUCUGUCCUCUGUUUUUAAAAGAAAGGAGGGUGGCGGUGGUAGGAAUGUAAUUACCUCCAACUUUACAAGGGUAAUGGGUCAUUAGCAAUCCAUAAUCUGAUUUUAGCUAGUGUAGAGUAGAUUAUGAGUUUUUAAUAAUCUGUCCAUCUAGUUUUUGUAAUCUACAUCAUAAUCUGUCCUGUUUGAAGACAAAAUAGAUUAUAAAAACUGGAUUAUAUAAUCUGGAUGGUUCUAAACAGGGCCUCAGAUCACUACUUUGAUGAUCUAAACGCUUUUAUAUUAGUUGACAAAGGGAGUACAAGUUAUGGUAUAGUGCUCCCAGCCUUAGGUCAGGUAAAUGUGCAGUAGACCAGCAUUAAUCGGUACACCAGUAUAUUAUUUUACUAUGGCGCAACCGAAUAUACAUAUAUAUGAUAAUUCCUCAAAACAACAGUGACGAAAAUAGUGUAAAAAGAGAAGAAUGUCAUCGAAUAUUCAUUUCUGAGCCUAGGCUCAUCGGCUUUCUGCGGAAUGGUAAUACCGGGGAAAAUGCUGGAAUGUAUAAUCGUUCAUCGCGGUCCACAGCUGCAUUGGCAGCAAAGACAAGGUGGACAAAUGGGCCCGGCUUCUGCAAAAAACACACACAACUUGGUUAUAGGUUACUACUCCCUCUGCACCUAAAUUACUGUAGUUGAAGAAAACUAGACUAGUUCUCCCAACUACUAUUAUUUAGGUAUAGAGAAAAUACAACUCUACAUGUAUAUCUGGUAAUAAAAGGAACCACGUUACCCAUCUUCACUAUAAUGGCCUUAACUUCUAGCAAAGCAUAGGACAUCCAAUCAAAUUACUUUGUAAUGAAUUUUAACUCCAUGUUAGUUAAUUUUGGCCUCACAGACUUGUAUUUGUAAUUUUUAUAUAAAAUAUGUCUUAGAACAUUUUGUUCUACGGUUAGAGGUUUCAAAAAAAAACUCCAUGUUAGUUCUAGAGGCUGGGGGUGUGCCCUCCUUUUCGAAUAAUAAUAAUAACAAUAAUAAUAAGGGUUUCUACUAUAUUAAACCUAAGGUGAUCUACUCCUGAUGGCUCAUCAGAGUGUAUCAGGUGAAAAUGAGAACAUUCCUGGAAUCAAACUAAUAGUCAGGAUAUCAUGAGAUGCAGGGAGAUUAUUUGUCCUGGUAGUUCCCGCAAAAAGAACAAAUAGUAAAACUAAAAGUAGACAUUGCCUUAUUAAAAAACUCCAUUUCUGUGAAUAAAACUGGUAUCAACCUGCUCUAAAGAAAGCUACAGAUUUCACUUAGUAGAUUCGCAAGGCAGAGUACAUACGUGAUGAAGAUGCCGCACGGUUCAGGAAAACGAGCAGAAUGAUCCCAGUUGUAACAACUCGAAGAACCAAGAGGUACCACCAAGCCAUUGUGAGGCAAAUGAAGGCAGCUGCAUUCACUAUGGUUGGUUCUUAUGCUUCGUCUUCGUCUAAAUAAAGGAUCUGUACCGGUAAUACAGAAAACAUGCAACAACUAAACAAGAACUUUCAGUAACUUUGACUGGAAAGACAGUGAUGUUUUUUAUAAGACGGCAAAGUAAACAGAGAAAAUUUUGUCAAAGGUGAACAAGAAUCUUUGACCGGACCAUGUUGAAUGGGAAAUGGUAUUCCGAUGGCAGCGGCGUGCGUGCGUGCUCCUAUUUUUCUGCAUCAACUACUUGUUACGCAAAGCAGCACACGACGUUUUACGGAAACUUCUAAGUUUAAUAUGGUCACAUUAGUCACUGUCUACUAACGAAGUUGGACAGGUUCUUCUCCCGAAACUUUCAAAACAUCAUUGCCCCUAAUUUUCUUGUUCAGGGACAUUGACAAACCUCACAUUAGUUACGGUCUACUAACAAAGUUGGACAUGUUCCUCUCCUAGAACUUUCAGAAACGUCUUUGUCCCCAGCUGUCCUAUUCAGGGACAGAUAAACUUAUACGACUUGCAAACCUCGCAUUAGUUAUGAUCUACUAACAAUGUUGGAUAGGUUUUUCUCGCAGAACUUUCAUAAAGUUCAUUGCCCGGAAAUUGUCCUGUUCAGAGGGUUAGAAACUUAUAUGACUUAUUACUACAAACUAACAAAUCUUAUAGUCCAAGUUAAUAUUAUUCAAUUUUUGACAUACAUCCAAUGUGGACAUGUAUUGACUAACAAACUGGUACUCUUCCACCGAGGAAACUCCAACCAUAGUUCCAGAAGUUUAUAAACGGCACGUUGCAAAGUUUCAGUUCUGAACCAAAACUAGACUUGCAUGCACCAAGAACAAUCAGCUAAAGACUAGUGAAUAGUGACCUGACCUCUACAACCCAGCAACAUACCUCUAUAAAAAGCAAAUUAUUGCUCUUCCAGAAUCAGAUCAGCCCAAAAUUCACGGUUUCAUAUCAACCAGAUGGGUUGGGCAGUGGUGUUGGCCAUCCUCAUCUCAUCGGUUUUGCAUCCCUUGUUGCUGACAACUUUAGCUGAUGAAUCCGACAACAACCGAGACGCUUUGCUCUGCCUCAAGUCUCGCCUCUCCAUCACCACAUGGAACACCACCUCACCAGAUUUCUGCAGUUGGCGUGGUGUCUCGUGCACAAGGCAGCCACAACUACCAGUAGUGGUGGCCUUGGACUUGGAGGCACAAGGCCUCACCGGCGAAAUCCCACCCUGCAUGUCCAACCUCACCUCGCUGGUGCGAAUCCACUUGCCGAGCAACCAGCUCUCCGGUCAUCUCCCACCAGAGAUUGGCCGGCUCACUGGACUCCAGUACCUCAACCUCAGCUCCAACGCGCUCAGCGGAGAGAUCCCGCAAUCACUGUCGUUAUGCUCUAGCCUUGAGGUCGUGGCACUGAGAAGCAACUCCAUUGAAGGUGUGAUCCCGUUGAGCCUCGGUACGCUCCGCAACCUUUCCUCUCUAGACUUGUCCAGCAAUGAACUUUCUGGUGAGAUUCCACCUCUACUCGGGAGCUCACCGGCUUUGGAGUCUGUCAGUCUCACCAACAACUUUCUCAAUGGAGAAAUCCCGCUGUUUUUGGCAAAUUGUACCUCACUUCGCUACCUUUCUCUACAAAACAACAGUCUUGCUGGGGCCAUACCGGCAGCUCUUUUCAACAGCUUAACCAUCACAGAAAUACAUAUUUCGAUGAACAAUCUUUCUGGGUCAAUUCCACUUUUCACAAACUUCCCUUCAAAGCUCGACUACCUCGAUUUAACAGGGAACAGCCUAACCGGAACUGUGCCGCCCUCAGUAGGAAAUCUCACACGGCUUACCGGUCUGUUAAUUGCGCAAAACCAGUUGCAGGGAAACAUUCCGGAUCUAUCCAAGCUAUCAGACCUGCAAUUCCUUGACCUCUCAUACAACAAUCUAUCAGGGAUAGUGCCACCAUCUAUUUACAAUUUACCUUUGCUGAGAUUCCUUGGGUUGGCCAACAAUAAUCUUCGAGGAACACUUCCUUCUGAUAUGGGGAACACUCUUUCUAACAUCAAUUCAUUGAUCAUGUCUAACAAUCAUUUUGAGGGUGAGAUUCCGGCAUCGCUAGCCAAUGCCUCCAGCAUGGAGUUCCUGUAUCUCGGCAACAAUUCGCUGAGCGGGGUGGUUCCUUCCUUCGGCUCCAUGUCGAAUUUGCAGGUUGUAAUGCUGCACUCAAAUCAGCUAGAAGCUGGAGACUGGACAUUCUUGUCAUCCUUAGCAAAUUGUACAGAGCUGCAAAAGCUGAACUUGGGUGGAAACAAACUAAGCGGUAAUUUGCCGGCUGGUUCUGUAGCAACCCUGCCGAAAAGGAUGAAUGGCUUGACUCUGCAGUCAAACUACAUAUCUGGCACCAUUCCCUUGGAGAUUGGGAACCUGUCUGAAAUUUCCCUACUUUACCUUGAUAACAAUCUUUUCACAGGGCCUAUACCUUCUACUCUUGGCCAGCUAAGCAAUUUGUUUAUUCUUGACCUAUCCUGGAACAAGUUCUCUGGAGAAAUUCCACCUUCCAUGGGUAACUUGAAUCAGCUGACGGAAUUUUAUUUACAAGAAAAUGAAUUAACUGGAAGCAUACCCACAAGUUUAGCUGGCUGCAAGAAAUUGGUGGCACUAAACCUUUCCAGCAAUGGCCUCAAUGGGAGCAUCAACGGGCCCAUGUUUAGCAAGUUGUAUCAGCUGAGUUGGUUACUUGACAUAUCACAUAACCAGUUCAGAGACUCCAUACCUCCAGAAAUUGGUAGCUUGAUAAACCUUGGUUCCUUGAACCUUUCGCACAACAAACUCACAGGUAAAAUUCCAUCCACACUUGGUGCAUGUGUCCGGUUGGAAUCACUGAACUUAGGCGGGAACCACCUAGAAGGAAGCAUUCCACAAUCACUGGCAAACCUGAAGGGUGUCAAAGCAUUAGAUUUCUCCCAAAACAAUUUAUCCGGUACAAUACCAAAAUUCCUUGAGACAUUCACUUCACUGCAGUACCUAAAUAUGUCCUUUAACAACUUUGAGGGGCCAGUUCCAAUAGGUGGAGUCUUUGACAACACAAGUGGUGUUUCUUUCCAAGGAAAUGCACUUCUUUGUUCAAAUGCUCAAGUCAAUGAUUUACCCAGGUGCUCCACCUCGGCAUCUCAGAGAAAGCGCAAGUUCAUUGUUCCAUUGUUGGCAGCUCUGUCAGCUGUUGUUGCAUUGGCCUUGAUCUUAGGGCUGGUUUUCCUGGUUUUCCAUAUUUUGAGAAAGAAGAGGGAGAGAUCAAGUCAGUCUAUUGACCACACAUAUACAGAGUUUAAAAGGCUAACAUACAAUGAUGUAAGCAAAGCAACGAAUGGCUUCUCUCCAACCAAUAUAGUUGGUUCUGGGCAAUUCGGGAUAGUGUAUAAAGGUCAGUUGGAUGGAAAAGACAGCUCGGUUGCUGUUAAAGUAUUCAAACUUAAUCAGUAUGGUGCAUUGGAUAGCUUUAUUGCUGAGUGCAAAGCUUUGCGGAACAUCCGGCACCGAAAUCUCGUGAGUGUCAUAACUGCAUGCUCAACUUACGAUCUGAUGGGGAAUGAGUUCAAAGCUCUGGUCUUCCAAUAUAUGGCAAAUGGUAGCCUUGAGAAUCGACUUCAUGCUAAGCUCCAGAACAAUGCUGAUUUGAGUUUGGGAACAGUGAUAUGCAUAGCAGUAGACAUUGCGUCUGCUCUGGAAUACCUUCAUAACCAAUGCACCCCACCAGUGGUUCACUGUGAUUUGAAGCCAAGCAAUAUACUCUUUGACGAUGAUGAUACUUCGUAUGUCUGUGAUUUUGGGCUAGCAAGGUUAAUUCAUGGUUAUUCAUCUGAAGCUCAGAGCAGCUCAACAAGCAUAGCUGGACCAGGGGGGACUAUUGGAUACAUCGCUCCUGGUGGGUAACUAAAACUAGCCUGAAUUACUAUUUUACUUUUGAUUAUAGUGCUUGUCAUAACUUUUUGUUUCCAAUCGCUGCAGAGUAUGGCAUGGGCAGUCAAAUCUCAACUGAGGGCGAUGUCUAUAGUUACGGAAUUAUACUUUUAGAAAUGCUAACAGGGAAAAGACCUACGGAUGAAACAUUCGGUAAUGGCCUUACACUCCAGAAGUACGUAGAUGCAUCACUUUCAGAAAUUGAACGCGUUCUUCGCCCCAGUCUUAUGCCAAAAAUUGGAGAUCAACCUACUAUUACCCCCAAAAUAGAAGAAUACAGGGCAACUACAGUGAUGCAUAUCUGUGCUCUGCAACUCGUUAAACUUGGGUUGUUAUGCUCCGUCGAGUCACCAAAAGAUCGCCCAAGCAUGCAUGAAAUUUACAGCGAAGUAAUUGCUGUAAAAGAAGCAUUUUUCUCAAUGAACAGUUGAGAGAUACACUACACGCCUAGAACAGUUUUGAUAUACUGCACAUAGAUUUAUGUCGCAAAUAUUUCCGUUUAUUUGGAUUGUUUUCUUCAUUCUAAAGGCCAGGUACCAAAUUGCUGAAUCUUUUUAUGUAAAUUUCACUAUGCAUUGAUGUUAAAGGCCCGAGCUAUUCUGUCAAUUUGAACUUUUCUUCAGAGAUAAAAGGCCGGUAGCUCUGUUUUCCUAUUGCUUUCAUCAAUGCCAAAGCAACUUGGCCUCCCCGCACAAAUGUGUGGGGCGGACAAUAAUCAAUAUUUACAGCUGAAAUCUCUGCAUUGGUGUUGGAAGUUGCUUCUUUUCUAACCAGAAGUCUCUCAAUUUGCCUCACUGCUAAAUAGCCGAAACACUAGCUAACAUUCCUGUAUGAUGUGUCAAGUUUGGAGCACCCAGUAGGCCAGUACUGGUACUAGUAGUAUUGGUGGUGGCUGCAACGAAGCCCAAUCUCUAGGGACUGCGACUACAAGUCCGAUUAAUCCUGGUUAAAUCAAGUUUGAAGCAAAAACUGUACAAGAUCGAUACGGUAAUUUUGGUAUUUGACACGGAAAUAACAGGACUAGAAAAGAAAUAGCAAACCCUAGGUGCUCACUUUGGCCUCAAUCGGGAAUGGGGCUGCCCUGCACGUCGUGACGAUGGCCGUCGGCCGCGCAAGGCGGAAGGUGGCCGCUGGACGUCGACCUUCGCCGGCGUGGUCUUGGCGCUCCGCGGCAGCUUCCUGCUCUUACUUGUUGUCCCGCGGCCUGUUCCCUGACUCGACUUCCUCCUCUAGUACUAGUACUUGAGAGGCGCAUAGUUAGAAAGAACAAGACCAAUCCCGAUUAGACUAGCAUGUUGUCAUUUUUUAUAAACGAAAACUCUAUGAAAAUCAAAUGUUAUAGGCGAGAAUCGAACAUUCCUGGGCUGGCUGCAAACUCCCGCGCCAAAUCAACUGAGCUACGUCACUCUCUGAGAGGCGCAUAGUUGCAGACGAGACGACAAACAAGAAAGCUUAUUUUGGAUUUUGGACUUGCUUUUCCUUUCUUAUUUUCUAUUUUUUUGAACACAAAAGAAUAUUCACGUCUGUUCCGUGGUAAACCGAAACGAAGACAAAAUAUUAAUGACUAGAUUCAUUUUCUUCGAACAAAAAUGGGAGUAAUUUGAUAACACCCGAACGUCAAGUAUGAACACAUGGCAAAUCAAACGUUUACAAUGACAAAUGUAGUUGGUGCAAGAAUUGUAAAAUUAGUUAGCAAACAUGACAAUUUUGUGUAAAGAAUUACCAUGUGCGUUAAUUAAAGUCAUCAUCCUCAAGUCAACUAAGGUUUAUCCAUAAGGUUAGGUACUUACCAUUUUCGAAAAGAAAACAGAAUAAUUUCUUGCGGAGGAACAGGAACAAGAACGGCUUUAUUUUUAAAGGAGUAGUACUCACGAAAGAUAACUUGCUCAGGGCAUGUAACUGUAGAUGUUAUUUUUGUAUCAACAAUGAAUCUAUCAAAUAUCUCUUUCUCGAAGGUUCAUUGGCUAGACUUUUAUGACGUACUAUUCAUAUAGCUUUCAAUAUAACCCUUCAUUGAUUAUGAACACGUUAUUUGGGACGUGGCUUAAUGGAGUGGAAGUUAACAAAGCUAAACAUAUUUGGAUAGGAGUAUGUGCAAUGCUAUGGGCUAUAUAGAAGAGUAGGAAUGAUAUGAUUUUUAAUAGGAAAAACUUUACUAAUUUGUUGCAAGUCAUAGAUAGAGCAAUUACUUUAAUUCGUAUGUGGUCGUUACUCAUGUCUGCGGAGUCUAUUGAGCGUUUGGUUGCUGGGUGCAACAGGUGAGAAACGGCAGCGCAGGCUAUCUUCAACCGACAUGGAUGACGACAAACUAAGGGCUAGGUGUAUACUCAUCGUAGUAGUCUGUGUUGAUAUGGCCAAAUGUGGCAUGUAAUUUCCGUUUAUUUCGAGCCUUCGUGCUCUAGCUGAAUCUUGCACUUUGUUUGAACUCACGUGCUUAAAUAAAAUGGCUGCAUGGCCGGCGGCUAUUUUCCUUUUCAAAAAAUAAAAUAAAUUUGGUUGCCUACGUGAGUUGUUGUGUGAGGCCUAAUCCAGCGCGCAACAGUGAACAGUUUGUGGCCGGCACUGACGCUAAUAUCAGCCUCCGUGUACCCGUCCAUGAGAAGGCCGGUGAAGCUCCUGCGAAAGGAGUCAGCUCGCCCCAUUGACUCGCUGCAUAUGCGUUGCGAUUCUGGCGUCCUACCUCAGCCUCAGCCUCAGCCUCCGUGUUUUCUCCUUUCGAGGAAUCGAUGCCCGCUGGUCACCACGAGUGGACGUCUCCUGAUCAAAGUCAACCCACAAGUUAAGCUAAGCUAAUCCAAGCUAGGUAGUAGCACUAAAAGGAAAAGGUUGCCCCAUGCUUGCACGCUAAUGGCCUGCAGCACAGCACAACACGAUUUUUGAGAUGAAAACUGUAGGGGAGCAGCACGUACAAUCCGUGUACUGAUAGGCUCUGGCUGUAGUAACACGAGCAUGGCAGAGCGUGCCAGCCAUGUUAGAGCAUCUCUAACGAUCCCGCAAAAGUAGUCAAACUCUUAAACUUUUAGGUUUUAUAAUUUUUAAUCUAAAAAAGUGUUCAGAACAAAAACGUAAAAUGGUUCAAUCCGUAAAAUUUUUCAUGGGCAUGAAAAAGUAAUAUACGAAAUCCUUAUAUUUGAAGAUUGGAAGGCCGAACCGAGGGGACCCCGUAUACCGGUCAAACCUCGUCGGAGCAAACACGACGCCGUGGAGUUUAUCGGAAUCCGUCCUAAACUCGUCAGAAUUCAUCACCGGACACCGAAAAAGGCUGCUAGACGCUGCAAUCGAUCGCGGCCAGUUCGAAUUGGACGAGCUCGACCUUCUUUCAUCUCAUCUACAAAUUACUAAUUUAGUGUGUACUUGUCUAUCCUUCUGUGAGGGGAUGACGGAAUAUAUAUGGAGUUUGGGUGUAACUGACCGAAGAUGAAUGCAAGGGCUUUCUUCAACCUGAUAGAAUAGCGAUCCAACAGCAGAAUUGGUGAUUGAGUUGUUUCUCUUCUUACUGCCUAAUUAUUUUUGAGCAUCCUUUAAGUAACACUUAAAUUUUCAAGUGAUAAAGCGUUUUUAUUGAAAAAUAAUUUUGAACGUGUUGCUCCAACUUGUAUUCUUUAUACUUUAUACGGCUUUCUUGAUGUUGCUUACUUAAACAUAAUAAAAAUGCCAGGUAACCAUUUUUGCAAAUGACAGUCAAGAUACGGAUUGUUCCUCUCGAUGCGGAUUGUUCCUCUUCCUCCUUGCAACAACGUGAAUUCCUCCUGCCAUAGCCCAAUCACCCGGCCGGUCUCAACAUCAGAACGCUGCAGCGUACUCUUUCCCCUGAAAUCUACCGAUCCAAAUUCGUUUUAUCAGCAACUAAUGAUAAACAGAAUAUGCAUUUUUAAAGGUAAACGUUCAAAGUUUCGGAAUUGUUGUUUGUAUGCCAAUCCAUCGGCUAGGGGCACGGAGACCGAUAAAAAGAUGAGAUCGAGGUCUUCCCAAGCAAAGACUACUAGUAGCAUCUUUGCCCCCAACUGCAGCAAACUCGAUCGCAGCGCACGCGUUCCUCGAUCGCGUACACAUGCGACGACAUGCCGCUCGGUGCUACUCGCCUACAAUUUCAUGCGUGUGUGUCAUGUCGCCAGAUCCACGAAUGCCGGUUAAUUAAGCUCCAAGCCAGGCCGCGCUUUUGCAUGCAUGCCCCGCCCCUUUCCUUCGUCCAUUCGCAUUAUGUAUGUACUUGGAGAAAAGUUUAGCAAGUCAGAUGACUGCGCUGGCACACCGUAUUGUACUUACUGCCAUGGUUUAGCGAGGGCACACGCUACUGUACUUGUUUGACAUUUUGACGAAUUAUUAAAAAUGUUGGAUUGAUAUAUUAUUACUAGACUCAAUUAAUUUAGAAUGCCGCUAGAGGAAGUACUCUAUAGGUGCUAGCUAAUGUGCUUUGUCACAAUGGAGUACAUUUUUUUGCGGGGUUUGUCACAGUGCUAAUUACCACUACAUUUGUCCUGGUUUACUAUUUCCCUCGUAUUUUGAAUUAUAUUUUUACCAUGACUUUAAUUAGUAAAAUAGGUAAUCAAAAUAAUAUCACUGAAAACUACCUUCCAAAUACGAAUCCAACAAUAUAAUUUUUGGAGCAUGCAUUAAUAUUUUGCUAGUCAAAUAUAUCACUUAAUUUUUGGAGCAUGCAUAAAUAUUUUCCUAGUCAAAUAUAUCACUUAAUUUUUGGAGCAUGCAUAAAUAUUUUCCUAGUCAAAUAUUUUGCCUCCAUGGCUCCAUCACUUAAGCCAUCCAUUGUUCACUUUCAUGUUUGUGUACACUGGUGGUAUCCACAGUGAGGAGCAUCGACAAUAGCUUGAGAUGGUGUUUGGAUACGUUUGAGUCCCAUGACUAAAAGUAAUGAGACUAAAACUUGCUAGCCUCACCCAUGCUUGGAUCCAAGUACUAAAGAGACUAAAAUCAAGUUAAUGAGCAUUUAUUAUCCUCCAAACCCUCCAAUCCAGAACUUGCAUGAGGAGUUAAAUGAGGAGAGAGAGGACUAAUGCACAUUUUAGUAGGGGUACCCCUGACUAAAAGAUUUUAGCCUCAAGACUAGUUUUAGCCUCUCUUUAGUCAGGGGUGCUUGGAACUUUAGCUUCUCAAAGAGACUAGUUUUAGUCAGACUAGUUUUAGUCUCUUGGAUCCAAGCACCCUCUGAGAUGAUUUGUACAUCACCGGGCUCACGGUCCAUGUCUCUAGUAGAGGGGGAGUGAUAGGGGCAAGGGUAGAGAAACAAACUUAUUGACUACGGUAACAUGGCGGCGGCGUCCACUCCAUCAAGGCCGUUGGCUAGUUUUUGCCACCAGGAGACCCAUUGCCGCCUCUACUCGUGCCACUGUCUUUGCCUAUUCUAGGGGGCAUUGAUCUCUUCGAUGCCCCUUGAUAUGUCGGGUAGAACAAUGUGUUGAAGGCUAAUCGAGAGGGAUUUAUGCGCACUGAGCUUAGGAGGAAGUAGACCUAGACAAGGAUGGCCCGGCCCGACAGGCCGGACCCGAAGCCCGAUGUCCGGGCCGGACUCGACACCUUCCAGCCCGAAGCCUGGUGAAAAAUGAUUUUAAGGAUUUUAUAUAAAUACAUGGAUAGUAUAAUAUAGUAUAACUAAUCCUCAAAAAUGUUACAUUGCUAUUUUAAAACACAGAAACCAUGCGUUUUUGGCGUUGUAGGCCAGNNNNNNNNNNNNNNNNNNNNNNNNNNNNNNNNNNNNNNNNNNNNNNNNNNNNNNNNNNNNNNNNNNNNNNNNNNNNNNNNNNNNNNNNNNNNNNNNNNNNCUAGCGACGGGCGCGCGCGGGAGACGGUGGCUGCGGCGAGGAACGGCGGCGAGCAAGGCGGCGCGGGGUGCACACGGGAGAACGAGGUCGGAGGGGAUCGGGCAUGGGAAACAGGAUGACGGCGCGGGGGAAAGACGAGGAAGGACCGGGACGAGGGGCUGAGGAGGGUGUCGCUAGGGUUGGACAGGCAGCUGGGCCUUGGGCCGGCUGGGCCGCUCCUCUUCUCCCUCUUGCCUUGGUGUUUUUUCCUAUUUUUAAAGCAGGAAAACUCAAACAAAAAAGGGUUUCAACAACAAUAAAAGAAAUAUUUUUACUCCUUUAAAACAAACCCCAACUAUAAAAUAGAUUGGGCCUCUUUUUUAAAAGAAAUAAAAUGAAACCCUUUUUAAAGAAUAAAAUAAAACCCUUUUAACAAGAGAAUAAAAUAAACUCCUUUUAUCAAUAAAAUGAGACUCUAGUUUUGAAAUAAAACAAAAGAAAAAAUAAAGGAAACCCAAGGGGUUGCCUCCACAUUUAAUAAAAGGGUUUUUAAAAGAAGACGAACCUAUUUAAAAUAGGGGUUAAAACGGAAACUUUAGCAAAACCACAAAAAUGAAAUAUGAGGGAGAGAAGGUUUUAGGUCCGCGGUGCAACAGGAUUUUAGGUGGCUCUCACGCACCCACUCUCAUCACUCCAACAAAACAACGCCACUCACAAAGCACUAACACCCAACAACACGAAGCACAAGCAACACCGAUAAAACACAGUUGACAUGAUGUCAUUCAUGAUGCGAUGAUACAAACUAAAUGAAGAGGCCACAAAAUAAAAUAACCACACGACGAAAACGGAAAUAAAGGGGAAUCUUCUGGGCGUCGGCAUCGGGCUGUCACACCCUUGCAACAGAAACAAGAAAAUCAUUAUGGCUUGCAUUGCACUCCACAAUUUUAUUAGACAAAGUCAAUUCGCCGAUAAAGAUUUCGACUUGUGUGAUCAAGAUGAAAAUUAUGUACCAUUGUCUAUGCCAACGACUACAACAAAUGAUUCAACAAAUGAGAUGGACAGUGCUGCUAUAAAUCAAUUCAGAGCUUGGGUCGCUGAUGGGUUGUGGUCCUUGAAACAACAAUGAUAUGAACAAGUGUUCUUCGCUUAUGUAAUUUGUGUUAUCUCGGUUGUUAUGUACUCUCUCUUAUUUUGAUUUUAUGAACAAGUGUUAAUUCGUUUGUAUGAACAAGUGUUAUUUUGGUUGUCACUAUUGUGUAAUUCGUUUGUAUGAACAAGGGUUAUUUAAACAAGUGUUUUAUUAUUAGGGGUAAUAUGGACUUAUAAGUCCCUGUAAACAAACAGGUAGGGACUCGGGACUUAUAAAUCCCUGUAAACAAACAGGUAGGAAAUCGGGACUUAUAAGUCUGUGUAAACAAACAGGUACAGACUCGGGACUUAUAAGUUGGGACUUAAAAAAGUCCUAUGACUUACGAAACAAAUAGGGCCUUAGCCACACCAGCGCCACACUUACUCACAUUAAGAAAACAUACUCUCUCUGUCUCAAAAUAACUGUCUUAACUUUGUACUAACUCUAAUAUAAAUUUAUACUAAGUUUAAAACACUUAUUUUGAAACGGAGAGAGUAGCUUUUUAACGGGAAAUGACAACUCGCUGUUUAAGGACAUCAGUUCCAACGCAUAUUCUUUGGUACAUGUGUUUCAUUUGACCAAUUAGAAGCUUGUACAUACAAGGGAUGGUCCGUGAAUCGCAGCUCUUCCAUUUUGUUGAACCUGCGCGGUCGUAGUUGGACGGCUUGAAAUUGGAUUGGACACCAUUGCAAACGAACCGUACGUCUUUGGAUGUCUCGAGCACCCUGUUAAUCUCCAUUCAUGGAGUGAAUUGCAAGAAAUCACCACACUUGGGGCAUCCUUUGCGAAAAACAAUGGGGUUCUUAAUAUUUUGCAAAACGCACCGUUGUUUGGAUGAUUAAAACCCGUUUGAUCACUUUCUAACAAGUGGGACCUGGUUGUAAGGAGCUGACUCAGCAAACAAUUAACACAUACACCCCUAUAUCGGAAAAAGAAAAGCAAUCAACCUAUUCACACGUGCCGGCGGAGGCAAGCCGCACGACCCCACCGUCCGGCCUUCGGUGCCGCCGUCCCUCCCGACAAUCAGCAGGCGACUCCCCUACCUCUACUCCGCCCGAUGUCGGCGAGCAGCAGCAGCUCCACCGUGUCUGUCCUGUGUCGUCCGAACCACGAGCAGCAGCAGCUCCACUAGCUAUGGCACGAGUGUACACCGCGUCGCCCUACCCAACCUCCGGCGACGCAACCAUCGGGAGCAACAGCUCUACCGCGUGUGGAGGACGGGGCUGCUUCAUCGGCGUCUAGGUGAGACGUGUGGUGGUCCUCGGUGUGGAUGUGCAACCUCCUAGCGCCGCCCCACACAUGUCCCUCUUCGUCGUCGUUCCUGUUCGUCGAUGCACGACCUCAGCGGCGCCCCAACGGCGCACCUAAGCAUUAACAGGCGAGGUCGGGAUCAGGGUCUCCCUCCUCCCGCAGCCCCGACGAGCGCGGCGGGGCGACUCCCCUAAGGCGUAGGGGCGAGCAGGUGAAGAGAAACAACGGCAAGGCCGACAGAGCUUCGGCAGCACAACGGUAGGGCCGGAGCCAUGAGCUCGUGGCUAGGGCGAGCCACCGGCCAGCUGCGACGGCCAGGGAGGUGGGAGGCCGCACCAUCCCGUUAGCAAGACUAGGGGGAGGGAGAUCAUCUCGCCGGAGGCCACCUCAAGGUGGCCCGCCACCAUCUCGGAGGAGGCAGGCGACGCGGGUGGGAGGGGGCUAGUUGCUUUUUCAUUUUCUGAAUAUGGACGUCUUUGUGAAAUCCAGGGAGUAGUGUAUAUCAUUUUUUAUCAAAUCAUCUCCUUACAAUCUCACCCCACUUCUCAGAAAGUGAUCAACCAGGCUAAAUCACCUGGUUAGUGAAAUUUGCAAAAAAAAUGUUGUGAAUCUACUAUGUGUUUUACAAAAAACGAAGGACCACGUAGUUUUCCACAAACGAAGCCACAAAUGUGGUGGUUUCUCAUGCAAUUCACUCGCAUUGAUGUAUGUGUUCAACACUGAAAUGGUUGAUGCCAAACAAAAUGAUCAGAUUUUAUUAAACUGGAUAGGAUUGAAUCCUCGGCACAAGAACAAUUUCUUGUUUGUGCAUCCCACGGCUAGGAAGGCAGAUGACAGGGUCUAGAACUUAAUUACUCCCUUCCUUCCUAAAUAUAAACAUAAGUCUUUUUAAGGAUUCUAAUAUGGACUACAUAUGAAGUAAAAUGAAUGAAUCUAUAUAUUAAAAUAUGUCAAUAUAAAUUCGUAUGUAGUUUAUACUAAAAAUUUAAAGAAGACUUAUGUUUUUGUAUAUGAAAAAACUUUCGUGUUAAUAGAGAGAAAUUUGACCCGAACAAAUAUAAGUUUUAUUAUUUUUCUAUUUUACGAUUGUGAAAUCUCCCCUAAUAAUAAAGUGCGCAAUGCUUCUGUCGCCCGUCGUCGGUCAUUUUGCAGAAAAGCCCUCACAGUUUCAGUUAAUUAACCCGCAGUCCAACUUUAAGUCAGAACGAACCUAACCGUUUUUUGCAUUUUAUAGAAAACUCCCUGAUGUUUCAGGUAAUCAACCCGCCGUCCCUAUUUAAGUCAACCGAAACUUUUUUGUUUUAACAAAAAAAACCUGACUUUUCAGUUAAUCAAUCCAUAUUUUAUCUAAAACAAAAUUAUCCAUAUCUUUUAAACCGUAACUCCGAUUUUAACAUGUUAUAUAUGAAUUUUGAUUGAAAAAAUGUGUAGAAUCUAAAUAGGAUGUUAUUUUUAGCUGUUAAAUACUUCUUAAAUAUUAUUUUUGAUUCAAACUUAAUCUGUAGUGCACGGUCUUUUUUCUCUCUUUCCGACGACCAUACGAAUUUGCAAUAAAUAUUCAUUAAAUUAAAACCAAAUUGAGAGGAAAGAAAACAUCGUUAAUCACACAUGCACACCUUUGGAAAAUCUCGUGGGAAGAAACAACAUAUUUCUCAUCUUAUUCCGAGUGAUUGUACAUUCAAACGCGUUUUCGUUGUGUGAGCACUGAGGUCAUUGUCGACAACACAAAUGUUAUGCCAUGUGAAAAUAUAUUACGUUUAAAGCGUGUGUUAUUUUCUCUUCCGUUGCAACGCACGAGUUUUUUAUAUUAUAUAACUAUAAAGAUUUGGGAUUUUUGUUGGGAAGUUCCGUGACAAUAUUGUACGUACUAAUUUUCUCUUUGGGCAAGUGGCUCCAUAUCUCUUAAAAACCACGCGGAGAACGAGCAGCGGAUCUUCAGCAGCAAGAUUGUACUUCCACACGUUGGACUUUUCUUUCUCUUGGACUGUUCAUACAGAUACGGAUACGGAUUCUCACUAACUCAUUGGUCUUGGACAGUUCGUACGGAGGAAAAAGUCCAAUUUCAACCUUUAAUAUGUGAACCAUUUUAUAAAAUCUCUCAAAAAUAGAAAACGUGAUUUUUUUCAAAAUCGGAACAUUUUUCAAAUUCGAAAAUAUUUUUGGAUGCGCGAACAUUUUUCUUGUAGUUGUGGAGUGAUGCAUGCAUUUGUUCUUAUAGUUGUGAGUAUAUUAAGACUGUAGCUUAAGCUCUACCUGGUCAGCAUUUUUUAAAUUUGUUAAUAUUUUUCAAAAAUGACGAACCUUUUUUCAAAUAUUUCUUACAGUGUGUUGGGACAAAUCCGGUCAGGCGAUGAACGUCGAAUAGCCUACAGGUACGCAUAAUACACACCAUGACAACCCACACAUACACGUACAUCCACACGUAAUAUACAAUAAAUAUUUCGACUACAUACAAUGAACUCUAUAUAAUAUAAGUGAAAAUAAACAGGAACAAAAAAGAAAAAAGAAAUCAAAAAUAAAAAGUAUAAAAUAUAAAUUGAAACAGAAAUAAAUUCGUGAACUUUUUUCUCACUUUUUUAAUUCCGUAAAUAUUGUGAUGUUCCAUAGCGAGAUGGGCCUGACUGGUCUGGGCCAGUCUUUUUCGCGCGUGCGCAGCUCAAUCCCGGUCAAGUCAGCAAUCCUAGUUUGUCAAAAGAAUCCAGGGUUCUUUUAGACAAGGAUUACAUAGUUUAGGGUGCAAUCGACAGGGAUUUCGAGUUGAAGGUUCAUUUCGUCGAACCUCUACAAAUUCAGGGUUUAAAAUGAACUUUUUCCUUCAUACGGAUACGGAUUCUCACUAACCACAGGCUACAUCGGUACAGCUCCUGGACCGGCUGCUUGUUAAGCUGGGGAUAAUGGGGCGAUCAGAUUGGUGAGAGCAUCUUCAUAUUAUGUUCCCAAAUCUUCCCUCGUUGUCUGCAUGGGGGAAAUAUUAAUACAAGAAACAUUCAAGAAAAAAAUCAACGGAGAAAUAAUAGCUCCUCACUGCGCAGUGCGUACAAAAAAACCAUCCUUGUGCUAAUAAUAUGCCUAUAUAUAGACCGAACUAGCAACGUGCAAGCUCAAAACUAACAGCAAGCAACCAUGGCUUUUUAUGACCAACAAUUCAAGAUUCUCGAGGUACCUCCAAUCGUGCAAGAGCUUGUGGGCGCCGGCGUGAAGGAGCCACCGAGCCAGUACGUGCUUCCCGAGCAAUACCGUCCCGCUGCGGCGGCGGUCUCCGAGAUGCCCGAGCCCAUCCCCAUCAUCGACCUCAGCCGGCUCUCUGCCGGCAGCGCCGAGGAGUUCGACAAGCUGCGGUCCGCGUUGGAGAACUGGAACCUCUUCCUGGUAAUUAAACUUCUUUUCCCAUUUUCAUUUCGGUUGUGUGAUGAAGUGGUCAUCUCGAUCUCAUCUCCGGCCGAUCUUUCUCCAGGCUGUUGGACAUGGAAUGGAGCCUAGCUUUCUUGCCGAGGCGAUGAAGGCCACCAGAGAGUUUUUCAACCUCCCAAUAGAAGAGAAACAAAAGUACUCGAACAUUGUCGACGGCGAGAAGAUGAGCAUGGAUGGAUACGGUAAUGACAUGGUCGUAAAAGAGAAUCAGGUCCUUGACUGGAACGACCGGCUUAAUCUCCUCGUGGAACCUGAAUCCCUAAGAACCUACAGACUCUGGCCAACGCAACCCCUUCUUUCAGGUACUUAUUUACCGUCUAGCUGUAGGUUUUUACAGUCUAUAUACGGUACGCAUGCUGCUGCAGGCUCUGCUAUCAUGCAUGCCCUAUUUUUAAGCUGAUACGUCAGUAGUCUGGCAGUUGAUGAUUACUACUCCACAAUUGUGCAGAGACGUCCUGUCUGAAUACACGGUCAGGUGCAAAGCGGCGACCAACAUUGUCCUUCGAAACAUGGCCAAGAUGCUCAAUUUACAAGAGGAACACCUCGUAAACAUGAUCGGCGACAACUCCAUCACCCUAGCUAUAUUCAACUACUACCCUCAGUGUCCAAGGCCAGACCACGUCUUGGGCCUCAAGGCCCACACCGACGGCUCAAUAAUCACCAUCAACUUCGCCGAUGCCGAGGGGCUCCAGCUUGAGAACAACGGCGUCUGGUACAACGUGCCCAUUGUUCCAAAUGCAUUGGUUAUGAACAUAGGAGAUAUAAUGGAGGUACUUGUGUCUACAGCCAGCUACAUGUAUAAUAGUUUGACCUUGUUUUGUGGAUUGUCAAGCUGAGAUAUAAUACAUCUCUCUAUUUCAUCCUUAUGCAUGCAGAUUUUGAGCAAUGGGGUUUUCAAGAGCCUGGUGCAUAGGGUUGUCACCAACGCGGAGAAAGAGCGCUUGUCGGUGGUGCUGGUUUAUACGUUGGAGCUAGAGACACAACUUGAGCCGGUGUCAGAGCUAGUGGAUGACAAGAGACCUGCACGAUACAUGAAGAUCAAGCUCAACGACUACAUGGAAAAAUUCCUUGACACUUAUGCCACUGGGACACUAGCCAUCGACGGCGUGAAGAUCCGAAUAUGAUUCCGUUGUAUGCAAAAGCUCGCUGAGUAAGAUCUAUGAUGAAGUAUCUUCCGUUGACCAGUUUUAACGAGUUUAUAUUUUCACAUAUUUUCAAGAUUUUGUGUGUGUACUCCUCAUGUAAAAUGUUGGGCAGCUUGUGUGGCCGCAUUAAACCCUAAUAUAAAACGUAUCCGCUGUGGGCAACGUACGGAUGCAAAGGAUGGAAUAAAACUUAUCGAUUGUGUGCAACAUGCGGAUGCAAGGAUAGUUUUUCCUGUUAGUAUGUAUCAUUGAUAAGUACCAUUGUGCCUCCGUUUCAAGAAAUUAAGAGACCAUUGUGCCAUGAAAAAUGUGGGUUAACAGUCAGAAUUUCAUGUGUAUCUUUCCUGAAAAAUAGACACCCACUACUAUAGAGUGUGACAUAAAUAGACACCCACUACUAUAGAGUGUGACAUGUCAAUAGCUUCUCGUCGGUGAUUACGAUGUUAGCAUUAACUAGUCACACUACUAGGAAAAACCUUAUAGGAAGGACAUGAGUAGUAGCGCUAGAAAAAGAAAACGCUGCUGCUAAUUAGCAGUAGCGCUGAGCCAGCUGCAUACACCUUAGCAGUAGCGCUGCUAAUUAAAAAGGCGCUACUACUAUGUGGAACCAGACGAUGCCACUGACGGUAGCUGUAGUAGCAGCGUUGCCCAAAAUCCAGCGCUACUACUAAGUAUUUAGCGGUAGCGCUUUGUUUUGCAGCAUCGCUGCUGCUAGUUGGCUCCACUUAGUCGUAGCGCUCGAUGGUGUGCAGUGCUACUACUAAUAGAAUAGCAGCAGCGCUCUCUGUUAUCCAGCGCUACUGCUAGUUGCGGCUGCCCACCYCCUCCCCCCCCCCUCCCCUCCCCACNNNNNNNNNNNNNNNNNNNNNNNNNNNNNNNNNNNNNNNNNNNNNNNNNNNNNNNNNNNNNNNNNNNNNNNNNNNNNNNNNNNNNNNNNNNNNNNNNNNNAGGCCUCCGGUCCCGGCCCCGCCCUCGCCGGCCACCACCCCGCCUGCCUGUCCCCAGCCACUUCACCGUCGUAGGCCCUGGCAUCUUCCCUGCUUCCCCACCGGUCUCUGCUCCCAGUCGCCCCCGCCGGUCCUGGCCCCAUUGCCCCCGCCGUCCACGGCCUCGUCAUCCCCUGCUGCAGCUCCAGUGAGCACGUGCAUAGUGGAUGGUGGCAAGGCAGCUAGGCAUGCUGGAUCUCGGGCUGCUACACCAACCCUCCUCUCUUGUAAUUUUCUACGAAGCACCGAUACUUCAGAAAUUUGUGUAUCGCCGUUCAGUACUUCACCGAUAUUCCGAUACUUCAGAUACGCCUUCGAUACGGGUAUCCCCGAAGUAUCGUCAUUUCCAAUUUAAAAGAAAUGGCGAUACGCGUAUCCUCAAAGUAUCGCCAUUGUGUAUUGCCCAUGCCUUGAUGUAUCGUUGAUCUGUUCAUAUACAUAGUGCACGUGGAUUGUACUAAUGUAGUAGUUGGAUAAAAGUGCUUGUUAAGAAUGUUACUUGUGCAAUUCAUUAUUUGACCCACUCGUGCAAUCCAAAGUUGCUCUUUAUAUAUGUUUGUCAUUUGACAAUCUCAAGUUUUUAAUUUUAAAAGAUUUAUUAAUUUUAUAUUAUCGUGUUAAUAGAUAUUACAGUCUAAAUUGUAUUGUGACAGUCUAUGAUCAAUUGGUCGUAUUAUUCAUUGAUGAUAGUGAGAUUUUAAAAUGAGAAACAAUAAGGUAUGAAAGUAAUUAGGCAAUCAGUGGAUCGGUAUUUUGUUAUCAUCUCAUACAUUUAUUUAUGUUAGUUUUUAUUGCAUGUUAUUUUAUCAUUAUUUAUAUAUGCCUGCCGUAUCGCCGAAUUACUGUUUUUAGAAAUUGUCAUAUCCCGUAUCGCCGUAUCAGUGUCGCCGUAUUGGUGCUUAGUAGGUAAUUUUUAGAUCAACGUGUCCUGUAGUUUGUUCAUGUGUAAUAAGUUAGUUUUGCCUUGUAUCAGAAAGUGAUGAUGUAAUCGGUGUAAAUAGAGUAAUUUUGUAUUGUGAAAUUUAUUCAUUUGUUGUUGAUUCUUGAACGAAGUGUUGAUCGAUACUAUGUUCUUCUUCGUCGUCAGUUCGUGGCCGCCUCUACAAUUGGUUAUUGGUUCAUAAUGUUCUAAUAAAAAAUACUUUGAUGUCUUAUUCUCUGAGGCUGACUGCAAAGACAAUAUUGAGGCUGAUGACAAAGAGUUGACAUCGUCCGUUAGCGUGCGGUUCUGUUAGACUGCCUUUUUUGUCGUCUACUUUGUAACAAAUGAUGGCAAACCAUUUUCAGCAAAAAAAAUUCGUCUACCCGAUCGAAUACUGACGGCAAAAUACCUCUUUGCGGGUGAUAAGACCUCGAUGACGCCUAGAGGGGGGUGAAUAGGCUAUUUAAAAACUUCUUCGGAUUUGGCUUGAAACUAAUGCGGAAAUAAACUAAGAGGGUACUUGUCAAGCACAAAUCCUAAAUGCACUAGGCACUACAACGUGUAUCAACAACACGAUCUACCAAGAUGGACACAAUACAGUUACUAACAAGCACAAGUAAGUUACACAAACUUACUUGAGCUAUAUCACCCGACAAGUAGGUGAAUAACACAAGAUACUAGAUCACACUAUAUCACACGAUAUAUCAAGGGCUGCAAGUAUGAACGUGUGGAUAUAGAGGGUAUGCUUGAAUGAUUAAUCUUGUACAAGAAAUAGCCCAUACAAUAUAAUGAGCACAAACAAUAUGCAAUGUAUGUAUGCUCAUGUAACACAAGUAAACCACAAGUAAGGAGUUAGGGUUAAGGAUAACCAAGGUCACUGAGACGAAGAUGUAUCCCGAUGUUCACUUCCUUGAAGGGAAGCUAGUCACCGUUAGAGAGGUGGAUGUUACCACGAAGGCACACCAAUGCCACGAAGGCUCACCCUAUUCUCCCUUUGAGAUAACACCACGAAGGCGUUUCUCAACCACUAGUCGUAAGCCUUUGAGGUGGCUUCCAAACCCUCACAAACUUUUUCGGGGAGUAAUCACACGGAUUGAUUCCUCUCCGAAGGACUCCUACCGCCUAGGAGUCUCCAACCUCCAAGAGUAAUAAGAUCACGGGGAAUGCUCAAAACUUGCUCAAAUCUCAAAUAGCUUGGGUUGAGAGGAGGAGAGGGAGACGAUCUAUCUUUUGAUUGGAACAACUCUCAAAGGGGCUCACAAAUGCUCUUGGGAUCUAAGAUUUGGUGUGAGAAAAUGUGUGUGAGGUAGAAGUGUGUUCUUAUGAGGAUAAGGUUGUGUUGGGAUACCCUCUCACGAAGUGGGAGGGGGUAUUUAUAGUGGGGAGAGAAAACAACCGUUGGGGACACUUUAAGUCACAUAGGGUCCGGACGUCCGAUAGUUUCCGGAAGUCUGGGCGACCGCGAGGGGUCGGACGUCCGACAGGGGUCGGUCAUCCGAGGCCUGUAGAUAUCACUGAAAAUACUGUGAAUUGAACAGCGACCGGACGUCCGGAGAAGGCCGGAAAUCCGAGUUAUUCGACUCAACUUCUUCUGGUGCAAGGUUCCGGAUUUUCGAGGCUGGUCGGACGUCCGGCUCUCGGAUGUCCGGAGGGAGCCGGAAAUCCGAGUUAUAUGACUCAAAUACUUCUGUUGGAGGGCUCCGGAUUUCCGAAGCUGGUCGGUCGUCCGACCCUUGACCGGCCCUCGGACGUCCGGAGGGAGCCGGAAGUCCGAGUUAUAUGGCUCAAGUUUCUCUCGUGCAUAGUUCCGGAAUUCCGAAGCUGGUCGGAUAUCCGGGACUCGGACGUCCGGAGGGAGCCGGAAGUCUGAGUUAUAUGGCUCUGAUUUCUUUGGUAUAGGAUUCCGGAUUUCUGAAGCAAUCGGUCGUCCGGCCCUCGGACGUCUGGAGGAAGCCGGAUGUCCGAGGCACUGGUUCUGUUUUCAGAUAACAGCAGAGCAGUGGAGAUGUGGUCUGAGCAAAAUAGUGGAGAUGUAGUUUGAGCAAGUUCAUCGCAAAACCUGUGAUCCCCUCUUAAUAGUGCGGGAUCCCUAAAGACUCAAGAAUCAUAAAAGGGGUACUGAUGACCCAUGCUUGAGUGUAUACUUUUAUUCACUGAUCAUCACUCCGCACAACUAACGUCACAGGAACUGAUACCUUUGGGUUAGCCCUUUCACUUGAGCUUGAUGUUGUUGUUCCUUCUUGGCUCAAGUUGAAAGCAAGACAUGAUAAAUUCUUCAAGUAGCUCUCCCAUACACGAUGUGGAAAGCCUAGCUUAUGUAUUCAUCUUCAUUUGUCCACCAUGUGAACAUCCACAAGAAUCAAGCAUGUAGUGCUCAGGAAUGCUUAUCUUGAUCUUGUCCUUGUUAGCACAUGAGCUUGUCCUUAUCAACACAUGAUCAUNNNNNNNNNNNNNNNNNNNNNNNNNNNNNNNNNNNNNNNNNNNNNNNNNNNNNNNNNNNNNNNNNNNNNNNNNNNNNNNNNNNNNNNNNNNNNNNNNNNNAUGGGAAACAAAAAUUUUCCUACGCGCACGAAGACCUAUCAUGGUGAUGUCCAUCUACGAGAGGGGAUGUGUGAUCUACGUACCCUUGUAGACCGUACAGCAGAAGCGUGAGUGAACAUGGUUGAUGUAGUGGAAAGUCCUCACGUCCCUCGAUCCGCCCCGCGAACCGUCCCGCGAUCAGUCCCACGAUCUAGUGCCGAACGGACAACACCUCCGCGUUCAGCACACGUACAGCUCGACGAUGAUCUCGGCCUUCUUGAUCUAGCAAGAGAGAGGGAAAGGUAGAAGAGUUCUCCGGCAGCGUGACGGCGCUCCGGAGGUUGGUGAUGAUCUUGUCUCAGCAGGGCUCCGCCCGAGCUCCGCAGAAACGCGAUCUAGAGGUAAAACCGUGGAGAUAUGUGGUCGGGCUGCCGUGGCAAAGUUGUCUCAAAUCAGCCCUAAAACCCCACUAUAUAUAGGAGGGAGGGAGGGGAGGAGGCAGCCUCAAAACCUAAAGGUUUGGCCGAAAUUGGAGGUGGAGGAGUCCUACUCCAAUCCUACUUGGAGUAGGAUUCCACCUUCCCACUUGGAAACUCUUUCCACCUUGUGUUUUUCCUUCUCAAACCUUAUGGGCCUUAGUGGGAACUUAUUCCAGCCCACUAGGGGCUGGUUUAUCUCUUCCCAUAGCCCAUGAGACCCCUUGGGGCGUGACACCCCUCCUGAUGGUCCCCGGCACCCCUCCGGCACUCCCAGUAUACUACCGAUGAGCCCGAAACUUUUCCGGUAAUGCACGAAAACCUUCCGGUAACCAAAUGAGGUCAUCCUAUAUAUCAAUCUUCGUUUCCGGACCAUUCCGGAAACCCUCGUGACCUCCGUGAUCUCAUCCGGGACUCCGAACAACAUUUGGUAACCAACCAUACAACUCAAAUACGCAUAAAAAACGUCGAACCUUAAGUGUGCAGACCCUGCGGGUUCGAGAACUAUGUAGACAUGACCCGAGAGACUCCUCGGUCAAUAUCCAAUAGCAGGACCUGGAUGCCCAUAUUGGAUCCUACAUAUUCUACGAAGAUCUUAUCGUUUGAACCUCAGUACCAAGGAUUCAUAUAAUCCCGUAUGUCAUUCCCUUUGUCCUUCGAUAUGUUACUUGCCCGAGAUUCGAUCGUCAGUAUCCGCAUACCUAUUUCAAUCUCGUUUACCGGCAAGUCUCUUUACUCGUUCCGUAAUACAAGAUCCCGUAACUUACACUAAGUCACAUUGCUUGCAAGGCUUGUGUGUGAUGUUGUAUUACCGAGUGGGCCCCGAGAUACCUCUCCGUCACACGGAGUGACAAAUCCCAGUCUCGAUCCAUACUAACUCAACGAACACCUUCGGAGAUACCUGUAGAGCAUCUUUAUAGUCACCCAGUUACGUUGCGACAUUUGAUACACACAAAGCAUUCCUCCGGUGUCCGUGAGUUAUAUGAUCUCAUGGUCAUAGGAACAAAUACUUGACACGCAGAAAACAGUAGCAACAAAAUGACACGAUCAACAUGCUACGUCUAUUAGUUUGGGUCUAGUCCAUCACAUGAUUCUCCUAAUGAUGUGAUCCCGUUAUCAAGUGACAACACUUGCCUAUGGCCAGGAAACCUUGACCAUCUUUGAUCAACGAGCUAGUCAACUAGAGGCUUACUAGGGACAGUGUUUUGUCUAUGUAUCCACACAAGUAUUGUGUUUCCUAUCAAUACAAUUAUAGCAUGGAUAAUAAACGAUUAUCAUGAACUAAGAAAUAUAAUAGUAACUAAUUUAUUAUUGCCUCUAGGGCAUAUUUCCAACAGCCAGGCCCGUCGACUGUCGAGUACAACGUCCAGCGCCUCCCGGAAGAUCAGGUGGGAGCUGCCUAGGGGGCCAUGGUGCAGGCGGAGCUGAUGGCGGGAGAGGCCAAGAAAGCGUACGACUCCAUCGCGUCCGUGUACAAGCGAAGCUUGGAACUACGGGACGAUAUCCCAGUAAGUGGGCUAGUAAGUAUUUACCUUCCUCUUGUAACCCAGUGGGUGUUUGAGCAAUGCACUCGGAUAUUGUAUGAUUAUUUUGCAGUGGGUUCACUCUUAGUGAACCCACUGGGUGUACUCCCCGAGACCGCUGUCGACUGCUUGUGUCGGCAGGGGUCUGAAGAACUUAGAAAUUUUAUUGUUGUCCUUGUUGAAUUUGUCUGAUCGUCUCUUGGCGCUGACUUGUAGAAAACUUGCGAGAUGGGAGCAGCGUACGAGACUCUGAGGGCUGAAAAGGUUCAGUUUGCUGGGGAACUGGAUGCAGCAAUGGUUGCCUUGGCUGGUAUGAAGGAUGUUCUGGCUGAACGAGAAAAGUCCUUGGAGGAGGCCCGUGAGGCAAACAAGGCAUUGGCGGCUGAAGUGGAAAAAUGGGGAAACAAAGGACCGAGCUGAUGGGACAGAUGAAAGUGUUGAACAGGCGGUGCAUAGCACAGGAAAAUUACGUUAGUGACUGGGCCCGGAAGAUGAUAGCGCUUCUCGGUGGUAAGUUCUGUUUUUCCGAGUGCUUGUGGACUGUGCAUUUCAUUCUGUGCUUACUGUUUGCUCGCCCUGUCUUUGCAGAUUUUUGAAUGGACGUUGAGGCUGAGGCAGCUGACGUUGAGCGGUCGAUUCUUCUGAACGUUCCACUCGGCGAGGACGCCAAUCAAGAUAUGCUCCGAGCGCACAUUCGCGUGGGCAAGGUGGGGCCUUUCAUCGGUCGACUGAGAGAGGUCGUCAGCUGAAUCGACAAGGAGCUUUGGCCAGAAGACGAGUCUCGGCAGGAGAUGGAAGGCUUGAUGACUCGGCUAGAGGAGGUCCCGAACCGAGUGCAGGCGUGAAAGAAGUCUGCGGCUCGCUGUGGUGCGGACAUCGCUCUGUCGCUGGUGCGAGUGCACUGCAAGGAGGCUCGCGAAGAGAAGCUGAAGGCGUUGCAGGUCGCCAACACGAAAAGCUUCGAUUCGAAGACUUCAUGGAGACCUUCCUUGAGAGCGCCACUCGCAUCGUCGACGGGAUCAACCUUGACACAUUCAUGGAGCCUGCCAGUCCUAGUGCCAGUCCUGACGACGUUUAAGAAAACUUUUACCUCGGUAUGCCGAGUGUUGGUUGUAAGAAACUUUGGCCACUGCUGUUGGCCGUCACAUUCGUGGUUUGGUGUGGAUAAGCUUGAUCUACACCGAGCCAACUAUCCUUAGGCGAACUUUGAAUUUGAAUCGAAUCUUUGUCUCUUCUUUUGCCAAAGAGUUGUUGAUACGAUUUUGGCUCGUGGUUUUGUUUGGCGUUUCUUGGUGAAACCAAUGGCAAACAUGUGGAGCAUGUAAUUGUCAGUUGUCUUGACAUCUGCAUGAGCCUCACUGAGGGUCUGCUGAGUCUCCGAGUGGAUCUGUAAGAUACACUCGAAGGCAAUUGAGUGCUUAGGCGAUUCGUGAUCGCGGCUAAGUCUUCGUGUGCGACUGUAAGGUCGUACUCGGAGCGAGUUGUUACUCAUGUAAUUGUCAGUGGUCUUGACAUCUACAUGAGCCUCAAUGAGGUUCUGCUACUCAUGUAAUUGGCAGUGGUCUUGACAUCUACAUGAGCCUGAAUGAGGGUCUGCUAAGCCUCCGAGAGGAUCUGUGAGAUACACUCGAAGGAAGCUUUCUAUUUAAGCGAUUCUUGAUCGCAGACAAGUCUUCGAGUGCGACGUUAAGUGCACACUCGGAGAAGGUGUGAAGUUAGGCGAUUCGUGAUCGCAGCUAAGUUUCCGUGAGUGCGAUGGUUAGUGCACACUCGGAGAAAGCUAAUACUUAGGCGAUUCUGGAUCGCAGCUAAGUUCCCGAGUGCGGACGUUAAGUKCACACUCAAGAAGUUAGUACUUAGGCGAUUCUGGAUCGCAGCGUCGCUAGNNNNNNNNNNNNNNNNNNNNNNNNNNNNNNNNNNNNNNNNNNNNNNNNNNNNNNNNNNNNNNNNNNNNNNNNNNNNNNNNNNNNNNNNNNNNNNNNNNNNGUCUUGGGACUUAAGGCCCAUACAGAUGGCUCGAUAAUCACAGUCAACUUCGCCGAUGCCGAGGGGCUCCAGCUUGAGAGAAACGGCGUGUGGUACAACGUGCCCAUUGUUCCAAAUGCAUUGGUUAUGAACAUAGGAGAUAUAAUGGAGGUACUGUGUCUACAGCCAGCUACAUGUAUAAUUGUUUGACCAUGUUCUGUGGAUUGUUAAGCUCAGAUUUAAUACAUCUCUCUAUUUUAUCCUUAUGCAUGCAGAUUUUGAGCAAUGGGUUUUCAAGAGCCUGGUGCAUAGGGUUGUCACCAACGCGGAGAAAGAGCGCUUGUCGUUGGUGCUGGUCUAUACGUUGGAGCUAGAGACACAACUUGAGCCGGUGUCAGAGCUGGUGGAUGACAAGAGACCUGCCCGAUACAUGAAGAUCAAGCUCAACGACUACAUGGAAAAUACCAUGACACUUAUGCCACUGGGACACUAGCCAUAGACGGCGUGAAGAUCUGAAUAUGAUUCCGAUGUAUGCAAGCUCGCUGAGUAAGAUCUAUGGUGAAGUAUCUUCCGUUGACCAGUUUGUAACGAGUUUACGUUUUUACCUAUUUCCCAGAUUUUUGUGUGUGUACUCCUCAUGUAAAAUGUUGGGCAGCUUGUGUGGUCGCAUUAAACCCUAAUAUAAAACUUAUCCGAUGUGSGCARCAUACGGAUGUAAAGGAUGGAAUAAAACUUAUCGAUUGUGUGCAACAUGGG
RNAcentral lists this long non-coding RNA (52747 nucleotides) under Hordeum vulgare. RNAcentral describes it as "long non-coding RNA (HVUL_LNC017050)". Lineage: Eukaryota; Viridiplantae; Streptophyta; Magnoliopsida; Poales; Poaceae. The record is from RNAcentral.